CGGUCGACGUGUGGAGUAAUAGUAGUAGAUGCAGAAAGUAUCGGUCUACUUGUUUCGGACGUGAUGCCUAUAGAAAUAAUCAUUGCAUAGAUAUCGUCACGACUCUGCACAGUUCUAUCAAUUGCUCGACAGUAAUUUGUUCACCCACCGUCUACUUGCUUUCAUGAGAGAAGCCACUAGUAAACACUACGACCCCCGGGUCUAUUCAAAUCCAUUGUUUACAUCUCUGCUUUUACUUUGCUUUGUUACUUUGUUGCUUUCAGUUCUUACUUGGCAAACAAUCUAUAAGGGAUUGACAACCCCUUCAUAGCGUUGGGUGCAAGAUUUUGUGUUUGUGCAGGAUCUUGAGAUACUCUUCGGUCGGAUUGAUACCUUGGUUCUCAAACUGAGGGAAAUACUUACCGUCACUGUGCUACAUCACCCUUUCCGUUUUGAGGGAACACCAACGCAAGGCUCCAAGGCCACGGGGGAAAUCCUUUGCAUACUUGCCUAGGAAGUCCCUUAAGGCGUAGCCGUAGCUGAAGGAUUCCUGGUGCAGUUGGUACAACUAUUUCUGGCGCCGUUGCAAGGGAUACACAACAAACAUCAGAAGUAUUUCUGGUGCCGUUGCCGGGGAGGAGAAAUCAAGAUCUAUCCAAGUAGGUCUCACAAACUCUUCUCUUGCAUUUACUUUUGUUGCCAGUUGCCUCUCGUUUUCCUCUCCCCCACUUCACAUUUGUCGUUUUCAUUUGCCUUUCUCCUUUGCCUUUUUUGUUUGCGUUCUGUUCGCUUGUGUGCCAUGUGCCUUCAAUAUGCUUGCAUCUUCACUUGCUGUAAAUCUAGUGAUAUGGAUCCUCAUCCACUUGGUAGUCUCUUUAAGAGACCCACUCGUGUGGAACAAAUUGCUAGUGAGUUGAGGGCAAUUGACUAUUUCUUUGGAGUUUUGCGUAAGAUGCAUGAAUCUGAAAAUUGUGAGGAAGAAAUUCAUGAAGUGAUUCACGAGGGCUCCUUGAAUGAAAAGCAUGAUUGCAAUGGUUUCACUAUAAAUUCUAUUAGUGACAAUCAUGCUAAAAAUAUGCAAAACCCUAAGCUUGGGGAUGCUAGUUUUGCUUUGUCCACUACUUGUUGCAAUAAUCAUGAUUGGGGUGAUGAUCUUUCUUAUGAUCUUGAAAAUUUGUUCAAACCUCAUGAUGAAUAUGAUAUUUGCAACAAUAUUGAAAGUGGGAUUGGAGAAGUCAUGACUUUAUUUGAUGAUAAUCCCACUAUUUUUGAAGAGCGUCAACUUUGCAUGCAUGUGGAUCAUGAAAACAAUAUCCUAUGGGAUAGCUGUAUUGUUGAAUUUGAAUAUGAUCCCACAUGUAAUUUCUAUGAGAGAGGAAAAUAUUGUGGUAGAAACUUUCAUGUUACCAAAUCACGUCUCGUGAUGUUGAGAUUGCUUUUGUCUCUUUCUUCUUCCUUGCAUAUGGUAACUAUUGGUUUCUUGACAAUCUGUUUUCCUAUAAAAUGCCUAUGCAUAGGAAGUGUGUUAGACUUAGAUGUGAUUUUCACAUGCUUUAGGAUGCUCUCAUUGUGCUUCAAUUCUUGUCUUUUGUGAGAGCAUCAUUGAAUGCCUAGCUAAGGGCGUUAAACAAAAGCGCUUGUUGGGAGGCAACCCAACGAAUCUAUCCUUUUUUCUUUCUGUUGUGUGUUUUCCACACUUUAAUAAUUCUGUUAUGAUUGUGUUUUUGUGUUUCUUUUUUGCGUUUGUGCCAAGCAAAACCGUUAUGAUUAGUCUUGGGGAUGAUCGUUUGGUCAUGCUGAAAAAAAUAGAAACUUUCUGUUCACGAAAAUAUUUUUCAUUUUUUUCUAUAAGAGAUUUUGAGUUGAUUCUUUUUGCUGCUGAUUGCUAAGCAAAUGCUUCAUACUGUCGUAAUUUUUCAGAAUUUUUGAAGUAACACAGGUAUACGAAACAUACAGAUUGCUACAGACUGGUCUUCUGUUAACAGAUUCUGUUUUUGUUGUGUUGGUUGCUUAUUUUGAUGAAACUAUGGAUAGUAUCGGGGGGUAUUAGCCAUGUAAGAUUGAAAUUACAGUAACCCAACAUCAGCACAAGUAGAAUUUAAGUUUUCUACAGUACCUAAGGAAGUGGUGGUUUGCUUUCUUGUACUAAUGUUAUCACGAGUUUCUGUUUAAGUUUCGUGUUGUGAAGUUUUCAAGUUUUGGGUGAAGUUCUUAUGGACAAAAAGAUACAGAGUGGCAAGAUCUCAAGCUUGGGGAUGCCCAAGGCACCCCAAGAGAUUCAAGGAUGUCGUAAAAUCCUAAGCUUGGGGAUGCCCCGGGAAGGCAUCCCCUCUCUCGCCUUCAAUCCAUCGGUAACGUUACUUGGGGCUAUAUUUUUAUUCACCACAUGUUAUGUGUUUUUGCUUGGAGCAUCUUGUAUCGUUGAAGUCUUUUUUUUGUGUCACAAUCAUCCUUGCUGCACACCUAGAGAGAGAGACAUGCACACACCAUGAUUUUGUCGAGCUUCACUUAUACCUUUUGGUAGACAAUCCAGCUCACAUGUGCUUCACUUAUAUCUUUUAGAGCACAGCGGUGCGUGGCUUGGUACUCGAUCUAUGCUUUGAAAGUAGUCUCAAAAGGGGUAGUUAUCCAAAGGGAUACGAAAACUUCCACCUUCAUGUGCAUUGAAUAGUUAGAGAAGUUUGAUUCAUCUCAAUUAGUUUUGAGUUGUGGUUAUGGUAAUAUUGAAGUCAUGCUAGUAAGGUGUUGUGGAUCUAGAAAUACUUGUGUUGAAGUUAGUGAUUCCCGUAGCAUGCACGUAUGGUGAACCGCUAUGUCAUGAAAUCUGAGCAUGAUUAGUCUAUUGAUUGUCAUCCUUUGCGUGGCGGUCGGGAUCGCGCGAUGGUUUAUACCUACCAACCCUUCCCCUAGGAGGAUGCGUCGAAUGCUUUGUUUCGAUUACUAAUAAAACUUUUGCAACAAGUAUAUGAGUUCUUCAUGACUAAUGUUGAGUCCAUGGUUUAGAUGCACUUUCACCUUCCACCAUCACUAUCUUCUUAGUGCCGUGCAACUCUCGCCGGUGCACAAAACCCACCAUUAUCCUCCCUCAAAACAGCUAGCAUACCUACCUACUAUGGCUUUUUCAAAGUCAUUCUGAGAUAUAUUGCCAUGCAACUACCACCAUGAUAUGUGCCACCACGUCUACAUUGCAUUUGCACGAUCGUAAGAUAGCUAGCAUGAUGUUUCCAUUGAUGUCUAUGCCAUGCUAGAUCAUUGCCACGGUACACUACCGAAGGCAUUCCAUAUAGAGUCAUAGUUGCUCUAAGUUUUGAGUUGAAAGUGUGAUGAUCAUCAUUAUUGGAGCAUUGUCCCAUGUCAGGAAAUAAAAGAGGCCAAAGAAGCCCAUAAAAAAAAGAGGCCAAAGAGCCCACCAAAAAAUAUGAGAGAAAAAGAGAGAAGGGACAAUGCUACCACCUUUUCCACACUUGUGCAUUUUGAGCACCAUAAUCUUCAUGAUUGGGAGUCUCUCGUUUUGUCACCACCAUAUAGCUAGUGGGAAAUUCUCAUUAUAUAACUUGGCUUGUAUAUUCCAAUCAUAGGCUUCCUCAAAAUUGCCUUAGGUCUUCGUGAGCAAGCGAGUUGGAUGCACACCCACUAGUUUUCUUUAAGAGCUUUCACAUACUUGUAGCUCUAGUGCAUCGUUUGUAUGGAAAUCCCUACUCAUUCACAUUGAUAUCUAUUGAUGAGCAUCUCCACACCUCAUUGAUAUGCCUAGUUAAUGUGACUAUCUUCUCCUUUUUGUCUUGCAACCCCCACCACAUUCCACACCAUCUAUAGUGCUAUAACCAUUGCUCACGCUCAUGUAUUGCGUGAGAGUUGAAAAUGUUUGAGCAAGUAAAGGUGUGAAACAAUUACUUGGCCAAUACCGGGGUUGUGCAUGAGUUAGAAUCGUUGUGCAAUGAUGAUAGAGCAUAGCCAGACUAUAUGCUUUUGUAGGGAUAACUUUCUUUUGGCCUUGUUAUUUUAAAAGUUCAUGAUUACUUUGCUAGUUUGCUUGAAUUAUUAUUGUUUCCACGUCAAUAGCAAACUAUUGUUUUGAAUCUAACGGAUCUGAACAUUCACGUCACAUAAGAGGAAUUACAAAGGACACCUAUGCUAGGUAGCAUGAAAGCAUCAAAAAUUCAUUCUUAUCACUUCCCUACUCGAGGACGAGCAGGAGUUAAGCUUGGGGAUGCUUGAUACGUCUCAAACGUAUCUAUAAUUUUUGAAGGUUUCACGCUGUUAUCUUGCCUUCUUUGUAUGUUUUUUGUACCUUUUUACAUCUUUUUGGGACUAACUUAUUAAUUCAGUGCCAAGUGCCAGUUCCUGUUUUUUCCCUGUUUUUGACUCUUUUCAGAUCUGAUUUUGGAACGAAGUCCAAACGGAAGAAAAACCCCGAAAUGAUUUUUUCCCGAACGGAAGAAGUCCAGGGGCUUUGGGGCCAAGCCAGGUGGGCUCGAGGGAGCCCACAAGCCCCCACUCCGCCACCAGGGGAGGCGACAGUGGGCUGGCUUGUGGCCUUCCUGGCCGCCUCCUGACCUAGGUCUUUGGCCUAUAAAUUCCCAAAUAUUCCGCAAAAAAUCGGGGGAGCCUCGAAAAUACUUUUUCGCGGCCGCAAGCUUCCGUUUCCGCGAGAUCUCAUCUGGAGACCCUUCCCGGCACCCUGCCGGAGGGGACUUUGGAGUUGGAGGGCUUCUUCAUCAUCAUCAUCGCCCCUCCAAUGACUCGUGAGUAGUUCACUUCAGACCUACGGGUCCGUAGUUAGUAGCUAGAUGGCUUGUUCUCUCUCUUGGAUCUUCAAUACAAAGUUCUCCAUGAUCUUCAUGGAGAUCUAUCCGAUGUAAUCUUCUUUGGCGAUGUGUUUGUCGAGAUCCGAUGAAUUGUGGACUUGUGAUCAGAUUAUCUAUGAUAUAUAUUUGAGUCUUUGCUGAUUUAUUAUAUGCAUGAUUUCAUAUCCUUGUUAGUCUCUCCGAGUCUUGGGUUUUGUUUGGCCAACUAGAUCUAUGAUUCUUGCAAUGGGAGAAGUGCUUGGUUUUGGGUUCUGCCAUGUGGUGACCUUUCCCAGUGACAGUAGGGGCAGCAAGGCACACAUCAAGCAGUUGCCAUCAAGGGUAAAAAGAUGGGGUUUUUAUCAUUGGUUUGAGAUUAUCCCUCUACAUCAUGUCAUCUUGCUUAAGGCGUUACUCUGUUCUUAUGGACUUAAUACACUAGAUGCAUGCUGGAUAGUGGUCGACGUGUGGAGUAAUAGUAGUAGAUGCAGAAAGUAUCGGUCUACUUGUUUCGGAUGUGAUGCCUAUAGAAAUAAUCAUUGCAUAGAUAUCGUCACGACUCUGCACAAUUCUAUCAAUUGGUCGACAGUAAUUUGUUCACCCACCGUCUACUUGCUUUCAUGAGAGAAGCCCCUAGUAAACACUACGGCCCCGGGGUCUAUUCACAUCCAUCGUUUACAUCUCCGCUUUUACUUUGCUUUGUUACUUUGUUGCUUUCAGUUCUCACUUGGCAAACAAUCUAUAAGGGAUUGACAACCCCUUCAUAGCAUUGGGUGCAAGCUUUUGUGUUUGUGCAGGAUCUUGAGAGGCUCUUCCGCCGGAUUGAUACCUUGGUUCUCAAACUGAGGGAAAUACUUACCGUCGCUGUGCUACAUCGCCCUUUCUGCUUCGAGGGAACACCAACGCAAGGCUCCAAGGCCACGGGGGAAAUCCUUUGCAUACUUGCCUAGGAAGUCCCUUAAGGCGUAGCCGUAGCUGAAGGAUUCCUGGUGGCGUCGAUACAACUAUUUCUGGCGCCAUUGCAAGGGAUACACAACAAACAUCACCCAUCAUACCAUCAUAUCAGGCACGCGUCUCACUCCUUCUUCAAAUUCCCGGACUUUAUUCAUCAUUGAAACCCACUCUUUAGGCAGCAAGACCGGGAGCAUCUCGAUGGCAUGCUGGUGGCUCUUCUGGCUUCGCCGCGACGUCUUGCCUCCUCAUAGGACCGAGGCCCUACCACCACCAGGUGAUUUUUUAUCAUUUCUUUUAUUUUCUUUGGGCCUGACUGUGUCAUUUCCCCGGGUGCUAUCUAUGGUUGAACUUGUAUGAGGGUGUAUGGACCAUUGCUUUAUCUAUAGAGCGGGGCGAAUGCCUAUUUCGUCAAGAUGGCAACGCAAGAAUAGGAGAAAAUGGCCUUCCUCACUCCUUAUAGAGUGUACUGCUAUGUGUGCGUGUCGUUUGUUGGAAAUAUGCCCUAGAGGGAAUAAUAAAUUGCUUAUUAUCAUAUUUCCUUGUUCAUGAUAAUCAUUUAUUAUCCAUGCUAUAAUUCUGUUGAUUGGAAACUUAGAUACAUGUGUGGAUACAUAGACAACACAGUGUCCCUAGUAAGCCUCUACUAGACUAGCUCGUUGAUCAAAUAUGGUUAAGUUUUCUAGCCAUAGACAUGAGUUGUCAUUUGAUAAUGGGAUAACUGUUGGGAACGUCGCAUGGGAAACAAAAAUUUUCCUACACGCACGAAGUCCUAUCAUGGUGAUGUCCAUCUACGAGAGGGGAUUUCCGAUCUAUGUACCCUUGUAGAUCGCACAACAUAAGCGUUAGUGAACGCGGUUGAUGUAGUGGAAUGUCCUCACGUCCCUCGAUCCGCCCCGCGAACCAUCCCACGAACCGUCCCGCGAUCCGUCCCACGAUCUAGUGCNGCUACGUCUAUUAGUUUUGGGUCUAGUCCAUCACAUGAUUCUCCUAAUGAUGUGAUCCCGUUAUCAAGUAACAACACUUGCCUAUGGCCAGGAAACCUUGACCAUCUUUGAUCAACGAGCUAGUCAACUAGAGGCUUACUAGGGACAGUGUUUUGUCUAUGUAUCCACACAAGUAUUGUGUUUCCAAUCAAUACAAUUAUAGCNNNNNNNNNNNNNNNNNNNNNNNNNNNNNNNNNNNNNNNNNNNNNNNNNNNNNNNNNNNNNNNNNNNNNNNNNNNNNNNNNNNNNNNNNNNNNNNNNNNNNNNNNNNNNNNNNNNNNNNNNNNNNNNNNNNNNNNNNNNNNNNNNNNNNNNNNNNNNNNNNNNNNNNNNNNNNNNNNNNNNNNNNNNNNNNNNNNNNNNNNNNNNNNNNNNNNNNNNNNNNNNNNNNNNNNNNNNNNNNNNNNNNNNNNNNNNNNNNNNNNNNNNNNNNNNNNNNNNNNNNNNNNNNNNNNNNNNNNNNNNNNNNNNNNNNNNNNNNNNNNNNNNNNNNNNNNNNNNNNNNNNNNNNNNNNNNNNNNNNNNNNNNNNNNNNNNNNNNNNNNNNNNNNNNNNNNNNNNNGGGCAUAUUUCCAACAAUAACACCAUUAGGAGAAUGGUGUGAUGGACAAGACCCAAACCGUGAGCAUAGCAUUUGAUUGUAUCACUAAGUUUAUUGCUAUUACUUUCUGCAUGUCAAAGUAUCUGUUCUUAAAACUAUGAGAUCAUGCAACUCCAUGAAACCGGAGGAAUGCCUUGUGUGUAUCAAACAUCACAACAUAACUGGGUGAUCAUAAAGAUGCUCUAUAGGUAUCUCGAAGGGUGUUUGUUAGGUUAGCAUGGAUCGAGACUAUGAUUUGUCACUCCGUACGACAGAGAGAUAUCCAUGGGAUCUCUCUGUAAUACAACAUCACAAGAAGCUUGCAAGAAUGUGACUAAGGAGUUAGUCACGGGAUCGUGUAUUACUGAACGAGUAAAGGGACUUGCCGGUAACGAGAUUGAACUAGGUAUGGAGAUACCGACGAUCGAAUCUCGAGCAAGUAACAUACCGCUGAACAAAGGGAACUGCAUACGUGAUUGAUUGAAUCCUUGGGAUCGUGGUUCGACUGAUAAAGUUCUUAGUGGAAUAUGUAGGAACCAAUAUGGGCAUCUAGGUCCCGCAUUGGUUAUUGACCAUAGAGGUUUACCGGUCAUGUAUGCAUAGUUCUCGAACUCACAGGGUCCACACACUUAACGUUCGAUAACGAUAUAGUAUUGUUGACUUAUAUAUGUUGGUGAACGAAAGUUGUUCAAAGUCCAAGAUGAGAUCCCGAACAUGACGAGGAGCUCCGGAGGUAAAUAUUCGUAUAUGGGAAGUUGGUAUUCGGGUUCUGGAAUAGUUCCAGGAUUUGUCAGAUUUCAUCGGAAGUGUCGGAAGGAGUUGUGGGGGUCCACCUACCCCGAAGGGCCCCAUGGGCUGAUAAGGAGGCUCACUAGGACCCUAGUGGGCUGGGCGCCCCUCCUCCCCUAAGGCCCAUGCGGUCAAAGGGCUAGGGCCAACCCAUGGGUGGCUACCACCCCCUCUCCUUGUGGGAAAAGGCAGCCCCUUUGGCUGCCACCCCAAACCCUAAGGGAAACCCUAGGGUGGCCACACCUCCCCCUCCCCCUAUAUAUAUGAGAGGAGAGAAGGGCACAUAACACACCAAAGCGUUGGCAGCGCCUCCCCCCUAUCUCUCUCUAGUAGUUUUUCCCCUCCGCCGCGUCGUGACAUCGCUUGGUGAAGCCCUACCGAGAUCGCACCACACCACCAUCACCAUGUCAUCGUGCUGCCGGAGAACUCAUCUACUUCUCUGCCUAUGCUUGCUAGAUCGAGGAGGUGGAGAUGUCGUUGAGCCAUACUUGUGCUGAACAUGGAGGUGUCAUCCGUUUGGCGCUAGAUCGGGACGGAUCAUGAUUGGAUCGCGAAGACACUCGACUACACCAACGCGUUUCUUAGUGCUUCCGCUUAGCGAUCUAGAAGGGUAUGUAGAUGCACUCCCCUUUUCAUAGCUAUACAUAUCCAUAGAUAGAUCUUGGGUGCACGCAGGAAUUUCGUUGGUUUCCCAUGCGGUGUUCCCCAAUAGUGGUAUCAGAGCUAGGUCUAUGCGUAGAUGAUAUGCACGAGUAGAACAAAAAGUGUUUGUGGGCAUUGAUGUUCUGAUUGUUUACUUUGAUUUGGCGGUAUUGUGCGACGAAGCGGCCCAGACCAACUUUACUUGUCCAUGUACAAGAGACUGAUUUCAUCGACUGACAUGUAACUUGGUUGUAUAAAGGUGGCUGGCGGGUGUCUGUCUCCCACUUCAGUUGAAUCGGAUUCAAUAGAUGCAGUCCUUGUAGAAGGUUAAAUAGCAACUUGAAUUUCACCAUUGUGGCUUUGCGUAGUUCAGAACCGUUCUUGCUAAUUUCCAAUAGCAACCACAUAAAACUUGCAACAACAAAGUAUAGGACGUCUAACUUGUUUUUGAGGGCAUGUUGUGAUGUGAUAUGGCCAAAGAAUGAUUUGAUAUAUGUGAUGUAUGAGAUGAUAAUGUUUUUUAUAAAUUAUCAUGACUUGCAUGUCAAUGAGUACGGCAACCGGCACGAGCCAUAGGGUUGUCUUUAAUUUAUUUGUGCCAUUUGCUUUACUUUAUCGCUAUGAGUUAUCAAUAGUUGUAGAAGCAAUAGUUGGCACGACAACCACAUGAUGACACGAUGAUGGAGAUCACGAUGAUGGAGAUCAUGGUGUCAUGCCGGUGAUGAUAGAGAUCAUGCCGGUGCUUUGGAGAUGGAGAUCAAAAGCACAAGGUGAUGAUGGCCAUAUCAUGUCACUUAUAUGGUUUGUGUGUGAUCUUUAUCUAUUAUGCAUCUUAUUUUUCUUAGGACGACGGUAGAAUUAUAUGAAGAUUCCUCAUUAAAAUUUCAAGAAACAAUUGUGUUCUCCUCAAGUGUGCACUUUUACAAAAGUUCGUCGUUUCGAAGCACCUCGUGAUGAUCGGGUGUGAUAGACUCUACUUUCACAUACAACGGGUGUAAGCCAGUUUGCACAUGUAGAACGCUUGGGUCAAACUUGACGAGCCUAGCAUGUACAAACAUGUCCUCGGAACACAGGAUACUGAAAGGUCAAACAUGAGUCAUAUAGUAGAUAUGAUCAACAUGGAGAUGUUCACCAUUGAAACCACCUCAUCUCACAUGAUGAUUGGGCUUGGGUUGGUGGAUUUCGAUCAUGUUACACUCAGACAACCUGAGGGAUGUUGAUUUGAGUGGGAGUUCUUUAGUAAUAUGAUUAAUUGAACUCAUUAUCAUGAUUAUAGUCUAAGUUGUCUUUGCAAAUUAUGUUGUAGAUCAAUGGCUCAUGUAGUAGCUCCCCUAAAUUUUAAUGCGUUCCUAGAGAAAGCUAAGCUAAAAGAUGAUGGAAGUAACUAUGAGGAUUGUGUCUGUAAUCUGAAGAUUAUCCUCAUGGCUUCGCAGAAGGCUUAUGUCCUUGAUGCACCGCUUGAGGCGCCACCCCCUCAAGUGUGUCCUAUGGAUGUUGUGAACGUCUGGCACGCGUGUGCUGAUGAAUACUCGAUAGUUUAGUGCACCAUGUUGUAUGGCUUAGAAUCGGGACUUCAAAAGCAUUUUGAACGCCAUGGAGCAUAUGAGAUGUUCCAGGAGUUGAAGUUACUAUUUCAAGAAAACGCACGGAUCGAGAGGUAUGAGACCUUCGAUAAAUUCUUUGCCUCCAAGAUGGAGGAGAAUAGUUUUGUGAGUGAGCACAUACUCAGAAUGUCUGGGUACUACAACUUCUUGAGUCAGCUGAAAGUUGAGCUUCUGCGUGAGACGGUCACUGAGAUAGUUCUCCGAUCACAACCACCUAGCUACAAAGGCUUCUUGAUGAACUAUACUAUGAAAGGGAUGAACAAGUCCAUCUGUGAGCUAUUCGCGAUGCUGAAAGUCGUGAAGUAGAAACCAAUAAGGAGCAUCAAGUGUUGAUGGUGGAUAAAACCACUAGUUUCAAGAAAGGCAAUGACAAGAAGGGAGACUUCAACAAAAUGACAAGCCAAUUGCCGCUCCCAUGAAGAAACCCAAGACUUGACCCAAGACUAAGACUGAGUGCUUCUAUUGCAAGGGUAGUGGCCACUAGAAGCGGAAUUGCCCCAAGUAUCUCGCCAAUAAGAAGGCUGGCAACGCCAACAAAGGUAUAUUUGAUAUCCAUGUUAUUGAUGUGUACCUUACUAGCUCCCGUAGUAGUGCCCGAGUAUUUGAUACCAGUUUGGUUGUUCAUAUUGUAAUUCGAAACAUGAACUACAGAAUAAACGGAGGCUGGCAAAGGACAAAGUGAUGACGCGUGUCAAAAAUGGUUCCAAGGUUGAUUUGAUCAUCGUCGGUACGUUCGCUCUUCGACUACCAUCAUGAUUAGUUAUGAACCUAAAUAAUUGUUAUUUGGUGCAUGUGUUGAGCAUGGACAUUAUAUAUGGAUCAUGUUUAAUGCGAGACAGUUACUCAUUUAAAUUAUAGAAUAAUGGUUGGUCUAUUUAUAUGAGUAAUAUCUUUUAUGGUCAUGCACCCAAUGUGAAUUGUUUAUUCUUGUUGAAUAUCGAUUGUGAUAGACAUGUUUCUAACAUUGAUCCCAAAAUAUGUAGAGUUAGUAAUGAUAGUACCACUUUCUUGUGGCACUACCGCUUAGGUCAUACUGGUGUAAAACGCAUGAAGAACACCAUGCUGAUGGACUUUUGGAAUCACUCAAUUUUGAAUCUUUUGAUACAUGUGAACCAUGCCUCAUGGGCAAGAUGAAGAAAACCCUGAUUUUCAGAACAAUGGAAAGGGCAAGUGACUUAUUGGAGAUCAUACAUACUGAUGUGUGCGGUCCAAUGAGUGUUGAAGCGCGCGGUGGAUAUCGUUAUUUUAUUACCUUCACUGGUGAUUUGAGUAGAUAUGGAUAUAUUUACUUGAUGAAGCACAAGUACGAAAUGUUUGAAAAGUUCAAGCAAUUUUAGAGUGAUGCUGAGAAUCAUCGUAACAAGAAGAUAAAGUUUCCGCGAUCUCAUCAUGGAGGAGAAUAUCUGAGUUAUGAGUUUGGUAUGCACUUGAGACAGUGUGGAAUUGUUUCACAGCUCACACCACCUGGAACACCACAAUGUAAUGGUAUGUUCGUACAUCGUAAUCAUACCAUAUUAGAUAUGGUGUGUUCUAUGAUGUCUCCUACCGAUUUGCCACUAUCAUUUCGGGGUUAUGCAUUAGAGACAACUUCAUUCACUUUAAAUAGGGCACCAUCUAAAUCCAUUGAGACGACGUCGUAUGAAUUGUGGUUUGGCAAGAAACCUAAGUUGUCGUUUAUUAAAGUUUGGGGGUUUAAGCCGUCGUUUCUUACAGUUUGGGGCUGCGAAGCUUAUGUCAAAAGGCUUCAACCUGAUAAGCUCGAACCCAAAGCAGAGAAGUGUGUCUUCAUAGGAUACCCAAAGGAAAUAGUUGGGUAUACCUUCUAUCUCAGAUUCGAAGGUAAGGUCUUUGUUGCCAAGAACGGGUCCGUUCUAGAGAAAGAGUUUCUCUCAAUAGAAUUGAGUGGGUGGAAGGUAGAACUUGAUGAGGUUACUGAACCGUCACAUCAAUUAGAGAGUAGCACGACACAGGAAGAUGUUUCUGUUACGCCUACACUAAUUGAAGAGGGAGCUAAUGAUGAUGAUCAUGAAGCUUCAUAUCAAGUUACUACCAAACCUCAUAGGUCGACAAGGACAUUUACUGCUCGUGAGUGGCACGGUAAUCCUGUCCUGGAGGUCAUGUUGUUGGACACCAAUGAACCUAUGAGCUAUGGAGAAGUGAUGGUGGGCCCGAAUUCCAACAAAUGGCUAGAGGCCAUGAAAUCCGAGAUAGGAUCCAUGUAUGGAAACAAAGUAUGGAAUUUGGAAGUAUUACCUGAUGGUCGAAAGGCUAUUUAGAAAAAAAUGGAUCUUUAAGAGGAAGACAAACGCGAACGGUAAUGUCACUGUCUAUAAAGCACGACUUGUUGCAAAGGGGUUUUCACAAGUUCAAUUAGUUGACUACGAUGAGACUUUCUCACCCGUAGAGAUGCUUAAGUCCGUCAGAAUCAUGGUAGCAAUAGCUGCAUUUUUCGAUUAUGAAAUUUGGCAGAUGGAUGUCAAAACAACGUUCCAUACUGGUUUCUUUAAGGAAGAGUUGUAUAUGAUGCAACCAGAAUGUUUUUUUGAUCCUCAAAAUGUUGACAAAGUAUGCAAGCUCUAGCGAUCCAUUUAUGGGCUAGUGCAAGCAUCUCGAAGUUGGAAUCUUUGCUUUGAUGAGGUGACCAAAGUGUUUGGGUUUAUACAAGUUUAUGGGAAGCUUGUAUUUAUAAGAAAGUGAGUGGGAACUCUAUAGCGUCUCUAAUAUUAUAUGUGGAUGACAUAUUGCUCAUUGGAAACAAUAUAUAACUUUUGGAAAGCGUGAAGAUAUAUUUGAACAAGAGUUCUUCAAUGAAAGACCUCAAAGAAGCUGCUUACAUAUUAGGCAUCAAGAUCUAUAGAGAUAGAUCAAGACGCUUAAUAGAACUUUCACAAAGCACAUACCUUGAUAUGGUUUUGAAGAAGUUCAAAAUGGAUCGGUCCAAGAAGGGGUUCUUGCCUGUCCUGCAAGGUGUGAAGUUGAGUAAGACUCAAUGCCCAACAACUACAGAGGAUAGAGAGAAGAUGAGAGCCAUCCCCUAUGCCUCAUCCAUAAGCUCUAUAAUGUAUGCAAUGCCAUGCACAAGAGCAGAUGUCAGCCUUGCCAUAAGUAUGGCCGGAAUGUUUCGAAGUGAUCUAGGAGUGGAACACUGGACAGUGGUCAAGAAUAUCCUUAAGUACCUAAAAAGGACUAAGGAGAUGUUUCUCAUUUAUGGAGGUGUUCAAGAGCUCGUCGUAAAGGGUUACGUUGAUGCUAGAUUUGACACAGAUUCGGAUGACCCGAAGUGUCAAACUAGAUACAUAUUUAUUAUGUAUGAUGGAGCGGUCAGCUGGUGUAGUUCGAAGCAAAGCGUGGUAGCGAAUUCUACAUGUGAAGCAGAGUACGUAGCUACUUCGGAAGCAGCGAAGGAAGGUGUCUGGAUGAAGCAGUUCAUGACGGAUCUUGGAGUUGUGCCUAGUGCACUGGUUCCAGUGACUCUAUUUUGUGACAACACUCGUGCCAUUGCUCUAGCCAAGGAAUCAAGGUUUCACAAAAGGACCAAACACAUAAACCAUCGGUUCAAUUCCAUCUACGAUUAUAUCAAGGAGGAGGACAUAAAGGACAUAAACAUUUGCAAAGUACAUACAUAUCUGAAUGUUGCAGACCCAUUGACUUAACCUCUUCCACGAGUAAAACAUGAUCAUCACCAGAAUUCUAUGGGUGUUAGAUUCAUUACCAUGUAAUACUAGAUUAUUGACUCUAGUGCAAGUAUGAGACUAUUGUAAAUAUGCCCUAGAGGAAAUAAUAAAUUGGCUAUUAUCAUAUUUACUUGUUCAUGAUAAUCGUUUAUUAUCCAUGUUAUAAUUGUAUUGAUUAGAAUCUCAGAUACAUGUGUGGAUACAUAGACAACAUAGUGUACCUAGUAAGCCUCUACUAUACUAGCUCGUUGAUAAAAAAUGGUUAAGGUUUCCUAGACAUAGACAUGAGUUGUCAUUUGAUAAAGGAAUCAUACUUUGGCAUAGCAUUUGAUCGUAUCACUAAGUUUAUUGCUAUUGCUUUCUGCAUGCCAAAGUAUGUGUUCCUAAGACCAUGAGAUCGUUAAACUCCCUGACAUCGAAGGAAUGCCUUGUGUGUAUCAAAUCUCACAACAUAACCAGGUGAUCAUAAAUAUGCUCUACACGUAUCUCCGAGGGUGUUUGUUGGGUUGGCAUGGAUCGAGACUAGGAUUUCUCACUCAUUAUGAUGGAGAGGUAUCUAUGGGCCCUCUUGGUUAUACAACAUCACAAGAAGCUUGCAAGCAAUUUGACUAAGGAGUUAGUCACGGGACCUUGUAUUACGGAACGAUUAAAGAGACUUGCUGGUAACGAGAUUGAACUAGGUAUGGAGAUACCGAUGAUCGAAUCUUGGGCAAGUAACAUACCGCUGAACAAAGGUAACUGCAUAAGGGAUUGACUGAAUCAUUCGCAUCGUGGUUCGACCGAUAAAGAUCUUCAUGGAAUAUGUAGGAACCAAUAUGGGCAUCUAGGUCCCUCUAUUGGUUAUUAACCGUAGAGGUGUCUCGGUCAUGUCUUCAUAGUUCUCCAAUCCACACGGUCCGCACGCUUAACAUUCGAUGAUGAUAUAGUAUUGUUGAUUUAUAUAUGUUGGUGACCUAAGGUUGUUCGGAGUCCCGAAUGAGAUCUUAGAUAUGACGAGGAUCUCCGAAAUGGUCCGGACAUAAAGAUUCAUAGAUGGUAAGUUGGUAUUUGGGUUCCGGAAUAGUUUCAGGAUUUGCUAUAUUUCGUCGGAAGUGCCGGAAGGAGUUACAGGGAUCCACCGGCAGGGUCCACCUGCCUCAGAGGCCCCUAUGGACUAAGAGGGAGGCGCACCAGCCCCUAAUGGGCUGGGCGCCCCUCCUCCCCUAAGUCCCAUGCGGCCAAAGGGAUAGGACCAUCCCAAUGGUGGCCGCCAUACCCUGUUCUUUGGGGCCAAGAUAGCGACCUUGGCUGCCGCCCCAAACCCUAGGGGAAACCCUAGGGCAGCCACACCUCCACCCUCCCCCUAUAUAUAUAUGAGAGGAGGGAAGGGUGAUACUCAUGAUCUGACUUGGGUUUCCCGUGAAGAGGAACGGGUUAUCACAACACAAAGUAGGUAAGUAUUUCCCUCGGUUACAAAACUAAGGUUUAUCGAACCAAUAGGAAUAUCUAGUACAACCGUGUGCAGCACCUGCACACAAAAGAACAAAAAACGUGCACCCAACGAGGGAAGAGGGUUGUUAAUCCUAUUGUCUUGUUAUUUAAAAGCAACUGAGAUGUGUAGAUAAUUGUAGAUAGCAAGAUAAAAUAAAAAUAAGUAAAUAACAACAAGGUAAUGAAGGUUUUAUAAAUAUGUUGUGAAUAGACCCGGGGGCCAUAGCUUUCCCUAAUGGCAUCUCUCAUGAAAAAUAGCAUACGGUGGGUGAACAAAUUAUCGUUGGGAAUUGACAGAAAAGCAAAUAGUUAUGUGAUAUUCACGGCAAUGAUCAUGUAUAUAUAGGCAUCACGUCCAUAAACAAAUAGGGCAAAUCAUGCCUGCACCUAUUACUAUUACUCCAUUCAUUGACCGCUAUCCAGUCUGCAUCUAGAGUAUUACGUAAAACAGAGUAAUGCAUGGAGAACAAUGACAUGAUGUAGACAAAGUAAACUGAAGCAAUAUGAAUAAACCCCAUCAUUUUAUCCUUAGUAGCAGUAACACAAAGACACAUACUUGUCCCCGUCUGUCAUUGGGAUAUAGAAAUUCGCCAGGUUUAACCUACCACAACGCACCUCUCUCACCGAAGAAAUAUCGAUCUAGUUGGCCAAACUAUUUCAAUAGAUCGGAGAGAAUUAUGAAGCUAUCAUAAUCAUGCACAUAAGAAUCAUAUAAGUAUUGAGAGGUGACUCAAAUAUUUAUCAAGAAUGAUCUGAACAUAAACCCAUAAUUCAUCGGAUCCCAACAAACGCACCGCAGAAAAGGAAUUACAUCAUAUGGAUCAACGUGAAGAUGCGAUCAUCAUUGUAUUGAAUAUCAAAGAGAGAGAGAGAGAGAGAGCGAGAUUGCCAUCUAGGUAUUGACUAUGGACCUACAAGUCUUUGGUGAACUACUCACACAUCAUCAUGAGGGCAGCAAGGUUGAUAAAGAGGCCCUCCGUGAUUGAUUCCCCCUUCGGCAGGGUGUUGGAACGGAGCUCCAGAUGGCCUCUGAUACGUCCCAAACGUAUUUAUAAUUUAUGAUUGUUCCAUGAUCUUUUGGCUAACAUUGUUAUAUUUUUGCUACACUUUUAUACCUUUUUACACAUAUUUGGACUAACCUACUAACUCAGUGCAGCCAGUGCCAAUUUUUGUGUGCUGAUGUCUUUUUUCCACGGACUUUUACCCCAAUUUAGAGAGUCCCAAAAAUCCCAAGAAAAAUAUAUAAAAAUCAGCGUGACGGAAGCUUCCGCAGCACCAAAUAUGGGCCAGAGGGGAGCUAGGGCUUGCCUAGGCGGCCUCCCUGCGCGCCAUACCCCCUGGUCGCGCCCGCGGGUCACCUGGGUGGGUCUCACCUCCUCUGGUGCCCUACCUUGGCUCCUACUUUUACCCCCGUGGAGGAAACGCUGAUUCCCGAACCCUUUUCUCCAGAAGCAAUUUCGAUCUCCGCCGACAUCGCCAACAAGUUUCGGGGGACCAGAAUUCCUGUGCCGGCACCCUGCCGGGACGGGGAAGUGCCCCCAGAUUCAUCUCCAUUGAUGUUGCUUCCUCCCUCCAUGAAGCGGGAGUAGUUCCUCCUUAGGGCUGAGGUCUUCUAUAGUAACCAUGUGGUUAAUUCUCUCUCCCAAGAUGUGAUCUUGAUUGUGAUCAUAGGCUAUAACCUAGGGUGAUCCCAUGAUGUUUCCCUUCUUCUAUGUAUUGGGUUGAUGUACUCACUUGAUCUUAUGUAGUAUAAUCCCCGUGACCAUGGUGACAUCGGUCUGUUGGACAUGGAUUAGAAGAAUAUUUUCAUGAGUGAUUUCCUCUUUUGUGAAUUGAUUGAAGAUUGAGAGUCUCUUGGUUCUUGUCUUUGACUAUCCUUGAGAUACGUUGUGGUGAUUGUGGUACUCUCUUUGGAUGGCCGCAGUGACAUUGGGAAAUCCAUAGAUGAGAACUACGAACUCUGAGGUGUACUUUUGUAGCCCUACAAAAUUCUCGUCCUCUCUUGAUCAUAAAGGAAUGACCUCCGAGUACGUCACCAUUCCAUGUUUUAGUGGAAAUAUCAUGUGAUUAGACUAUGUUAAUGUUGUUGGGAGUUGCCACUAGUGAAAGUAUGAAGCCUCGGCCUUGUUUCUCACCAUUGUUACACCGUUUAUGCUCACUUUUGUCACUUGCUACCUUUCUGCCAUUUUUAUUUCAGAUUUACAAUACCUUGUUUUACCAUCCAUAUCACUUGUAUUUUAACAUCUCUUCGCCGAACUAGUGCACCUAUACAACUGACAAUUGUAUUAGGUGUGUUGGGGACACAAGAGACUUCUUAUAUCUUAAUUGCAGGGUUUCUUGAGAGAGACCAUCUUCAACCUCUACUUCCGUGAGUUCGAUAAACCUAGGUCAUCCACUUGAGGGAAAUUGCUGCUAUCCUACAAACCUUUGCGCUUGGAGGCCCAACAUAGUCUACAAGAAUAGACGCGUGCGUAGUCAUCAAGCUAUUUCUGGCGCUGUUGCUGGGGAGAUGAGUGCUUGAAAGUAUAUCUUUAGAUCUUGCAAUUAAAUCUUUUCAUUUCUUGUUUUUAUUUUCACUAGUUAGGCUUAUGAAAAAAUGCACUCUUAGUUCGCUGCUUGGGCAAGGCUGCUUUACCACACCCGUGGUAGAGAAGUCUCCUCCACCUACUAAAUGUAUCCCAUUCGAAAUACCACUUGGGAUAAUUGAAAUAAUUAGGAAAGAUUGUUAUGCAGGAGAUGGAACAAUCGAUCCUAGUAUUCAUUUGUAGAAACUUACAGAACUUUGUGAGUUGUUUAAGAUUUCAGGUUUGACAAGAGAGGAGUCAUAAUGAAAUUAUUUUCCUUGUCACUGAAAGGAAAAGCAUUGGAAUGGUAUAGUCUACUAGAUGAUUCUCACCUACGGGAUUGGGAAGAGAUCCAGACUCUAUUUUCCUCCAAGUUUUAUCUUCUUCAUGAAGUCCAUGAGAAUAGGAAUUAUGUUUAUAAUUUCUAUCCUCAUGACAGAGAAAGCAUAGCUCAAGCUUGGGGGAGACUGAAAACUUUAAUGCUAAAAUGUCCUAACCAUGGGCUCCCCAAAGAUAUGAUUAUUACUAAUUUCUAUGCUAGGCUCUCUCGACAGGAUAAAGACUUGCUCGAUGCUUACUCUAUGGGUUCUUUCACAAACGAAAGGAUUGAUGCCAAAUGGGAACUCCUUGAAAGAAUUCAACGCAAUACUAAAGGUUGGGAGAUCGACAAAGGUAAAGAGUCAGGUAUAAAUUAUGAGUAUGAUUUCAUUAAGGCCUUUGUUGAAACUGCAAGUUUUAAUAAGUUUAGUGCUAAGAUUGGGCUUGAUUCUCAACUCCUUGUUGAUUUCCUCAAAUCUUUUGCUUCACAGCUUAAUAUGCCUAAGGAGAAUUGGAUCAAGCAUCAUGAACCUUUUAAAGAGAUUUGCAAAGAAAAUGAGAUUUUUAAUGAUAAUUGCAACAUGCAAGAUCCAAUUCCUAAAAAUGAAGUUUUAUAUAAGCAUGUUAAUUUUGGUGGAGUGGAUACACCUUGUGAAAGUCCUAUGAUUGAAGAAGAGGAGUAUUGUAAGCAACAUAAGCAUGAAAGAAAAAUUACUUGGGUUAGAGAUUUAAAUGAAAUUGCUAGAGAAUUGUGUGACCUUUAUCCUUUUACUUGUGUACUUUGUGGUAUAGAGGGUCACUUUAAUUUUCAAUGCAUGUACUUUAGAAACAUAACCGUUAACCAGUUGUGUGAUAACAUGGUCACUUAUGAUCUUUAUGAUGAACUUAUGUUAUUUUUGAUGUGUGAAGAGUUACCAGAAAAAACUUCUUGGCUAGAUGAUAAUGCCUUAGGAAUAAACAACACUUUGCAAAAAUUCCAUCUCUAUUGUGUUGUUAAUUUCCAUGAAAAUGAUUACAUAAGUAAGAUUAGAAAGAGGGAACUUUACCAAAGCAUAAAAAUGUCUCUUAUGUUUCCACUAAUAAAAAGGAGAGUUUCUCCCAAGUUUCCCCUAUUGUUUCUAAUGAUAAACCAGAAUAUUUGGAGAAGCUUCCUCUCAAACCACUCCCUCCUAAGGUGAAGAAGAAGAAAAGGAAGAGGAGGAGGAGGAACAAUAAGGAAGAAGAAUGGGUAUCAACCUGGCCUGAGCAUAUUCCUCGCAUCAACUUUUAUCCUAACAUACAUAAAUUUAUGAAGGAUAGUGAGCUUGAUUGUUAUUAUCUUGAUGAUAAGUCCGUAGGUACUAUUGAAGAUGAUUUUGAUUAUGAUAUGCAUGUUACUUAUUGCGAUUGGGAAGAUGAUGAUAAUGCUACUUAUGAUCUUGAAAAUAUUUUUGGUACCAACUUUGAAAAUGAUGAUAUGGAAAGCUCUAAGCUUGGGGAUGAUAGGAUUGCAAGUCCUUUACCCAUUAGUGAUGUGAUAAUUAAUAAUUCGUUUCCUAGUAAGAAUAAAGACAACAUGUUUACAAAUAUAGUUGCUAGCGACAAUAGUGCUCUUCUCUACCAUGAUGAUGUUAUAACUCCUAUCUAUAGUGAUUGUAAAGAUACCUAUGACACAAGGAGAAAUUAUCCAUAUGAAACUUGUCAUAAUCAUGGAGGUAAUUACUCCCUUGUUGAACACCAUCUCCCCAAUACACAAUUAAUCUAUAGUGUUCAAGUUGUUUAUGAUAGUCCUACUCCCACUAUUACCAAUGAGAAAGAUUAUGCUUAUGUGGAGAGUAAGAGUACCUUUUUGCAUGUGGAUCAUGGUAACAAUGCUUUAUGUGAUACUUAUAUUGUUGAGUUUAUUCAUGAUCCCACUGAAAAUUAUUAUGAGAAGGGAACAUAUGCUUAUAGAUAUUUCAAUAAUAUCAAGUUCCCUUUCUUUAUGUUGAAGGUUUUGAAGCUGCACUUGUUUUGCCUUCCUAUGCUUAUUGCUUUGUGCUUCAAUGAAUUAUUCUAUUGCAAUAUUCCUAUGCAUAGGAAGCAUGUUAGACUUAAAUGUGUUUGGUAUUUGAUUCUUGAUGCUCUCUUUUCUUCUACAACUCUUAUUCCUACGAGAGCAUCAUUAAAAUCUUAAGCCUAUCUUUAUGGCUAUAAAGAAAGAGCUCUAGGGAGACAGCCCUUGUUAUCUUUACUUUGAGUUUUUACUUUCAGUUUUUAGUGGUAUUGAUGUGUGUUAAUACUGUAGAAACAUCAUUGUAUCUUUAUUUUUAAGCUUUGUGCAAAGUUUUAGCCUCCGAUUGCAAGAAAUUUCAAAAGUUGUGACAUGUUGUCCAGAAACAGAUUUUGUCUGCUUGACGGAAAAAUUCACCAAAAAUCACCAUAUCAUCUUUUUGAUCUGAUUUGUUUUGAUAGUAUGAUCUAUACAAUUGGCUUUCUGGCGACGGUUCUGAGUUUUUCGAUUUGAGUUGCAGAAGUGCCCUAAAAAAAUUAUUUACUACCUGUUGGUCUGUUUUUCACAGAUUCUGCCACGUUUUGCGUUUUCAUCGUUUUGCAAAUAUUAAGAUUGCUUUUUCUUUGCGAUUUUUUUUGGCAAUCUUUAGAAACAAUAGCUCUUCAUGAAAAUCUUUAUUUCCAGUGGAGAAAAAUAUAUUUUAUUAUGGGUACUAACCACUCUAAUCAGCUUAUGAUGAGUUUCGUAUGAAGGGAGUUUUGAAGUAUGCGAUGGAAGAUGAUGAAAGAAGAUCCAGGAGUGUCAAACGCUCAAGCUUGGGGAUGCCCCCAUGCACCCCCAAGAAAUAUUCAAGGAGACUCAAGCGUCUAAGCUUGGAUAUGCCCCCGUGCAUCCCCUUCUCCAUCAACAAUCAUCAGUUCGUCCAUCUCCAUGCCAUAUUUUUAUCACUUCAUAUGUUAUGUGCUAUGCUUGGAGCGUACCGCUCUUUACUUUUUAGUUUGUUUUAGUUUUUAUUGCUGUUCAGAACAAGUCAGAACCUAGCCUUCUUUGUUUGGGAGAGAAACACGCUCCACUCCACCUUAGAACACAACAUAGGUUUUCAUGCUUAUCUUUUUUAUGUGUUCUUUAUCUUUUCAUAGCUAUUGUCAUGCUUAGCUCUUACUUUUCAUGCUUUAUCUUUUUAAUAGCUUUUAUUUAAAUUGCUUUGGAACUCUCUUGAGUUAUCAUGCUUAUCUUGUUAAGAGAGUUGGCUUGUUGCACUGAGUUGUGUGUCUUGCAUGAGUAGGUAAUUGAGGUUGUUAUUUAAGUAUAGUAGUAACUUGCAACAGUUUUAAGGUAUUGAUUUGAGGAAUAUUUGGACUAUUGGUGCCAAGAGCUUGAGCCUAUUAGUGAUAGGUGUCGUAUUUUGGGAAAUCUGUGUGUCUUUCAAAACAAAACAAAAAAUAGUUGAGAACUCUAGCUACUAGAUGGAUCGCUAACCUCUGGAGGGGUUGGAAUAUAUAGAGUACCUUCGCGUUACCAUGGGUCGAGGAUGCGCAAGGAUAACCAAACCCCCAAACACUCCUCCUUGAGGUGCUUGUCUCUUUGUGAAUCUCCUGACUAGAUAGAGCGUUACCGAUAAUAACUGCAUGAUUUCUUUGGACUAAUGUGAGUAUUCGAUUGUUGGCACUUCCACCAUCCAUAUUUUGCUAGCCUCUUCGGUACCGUGCAUUGCCCUUUCUCAUCUUGAGAGUUGGUGCAAACUUCACCGGUGCAUCCAAACCCUUGGCAUGAUACGCUCUGUCAACAUAAGCCUCAUUAUAUCCUUCCUCAAAACAGCCACCAUACCUACCUAUUAAGGCAUUUCCAUAGCCUUUUCGAGAUACAUUGCCAUGCAACAUCCACCAUCUCAUGACUUGAUCUUCAUGUCAUACAUGCUUUUGCGUGAUAGAGGAGCCGCAUGCUAGUUGGGCCUUGCCCUUAUUAUUGCUACAUGACGCGCUAGUAUCAUUGCAUAUCCUGCUACAUUGGCAGAGGCAUACAUUUGCAUACAUCAUGAUAGUUUUCAUUUGCCUUUAUGUUGAGUACUUCUUAUAAAGUGUGAAGAUCUUCUUUUUAUUCUUGUAAAACAUAGAGUGUUGCCCUUAAGUGAGGAAAAGAUCCCAAAGAGGACAAAUUAAAUGAUCCCAAAAGAGGACACAUGAAAAGAUCCCAAAGAGGACAAAUGAGAGAUAAAUAGAAAGAGCCAAAGAGGCCACACAAAAAGAAAAAAAGAAAAAAAGAGAGAAAAGGGGGCAACACUACUAUUCCUUUUGAAAGAUCCACACUCGUACUCCAUUGUUAUAUUUGUACUCCAUAGAGAUUAUCAUUCAUGCAUAACUAUGUGGGGACCCUUACACUAUAGAACUUGGCUUCUAUAUUCCAAUGAUGAGCCUCCUCAAAUGAGCUCUAGGUCUUCAUGAGCAAGCAAGUUGGAUGCACCCCCACUAAUUCCAUUGGAGAGCUCACCUUAGAUCAUAUGUGCAUCCAUUGCAUGGCAAUCCCUACUCCUCACAUCAUAUCUAUCAUUUGUUUUUAUCUCGCCUAUGGUUGUCCUCAUUGAUGUGAGCCUUUCACACUUUUUUUGUCUUCCUUCCCCAUCAUUAUUCUCUUUGUCGUCCUAAGUGUCAACAUAUCUUGCUUGCGCUCAUCCAUUGCAUGAGUGCUCAAAAUCAAAAGGGAGAGGAUCAUUUUGACUUGUGUCUGACUAGUGGUCUCGGGAUGAGUCAAAAUAAGAUUCCGAAGGAGACCAAGUGUGAAGUUUUAGUAGAUUGAGUUCUCAAUUAAAACUACAAAAUAUUUUAUGCUCUUAACCCAUCUCCCACUUCUUGCACGCAAACACCAUUUGGAGACAUUCGAGUCACGGACAGCGAGAGAUCUUGCACCUUUAUGUUCUUACUUUGCUAUUUUCAAUACUAAAUAUAGACUCUUGCUUGUUAUUGUCUUGACUUGAAUUGCAUAUCUUACUUGCUUUACUUUGAAGUUCUUAUAUGUGUGUUAGCAUGUCACCACAUAAAUUAUUUGUGUUAUCAUUUACCUACUCGAGGACAAGUAGGAAUUAAGCUUGGGGAUGUUGAUACGUCCCAAACGUAUCUAUAAUUUCUUCUUGUUCCAUGAUCUUUUGGGUGACAUUGUUAUAUGUUUUUCUACACUUUUAUACCUUUUUACACAUAUUUGGAGUAACCUACUAACUCAGUGCACCCAGUGCCAGUUUCUGUGUGCUGAUGUAUUUUUUGCAGGGACUUUUAUCCCAAUUUACAGAGUCCCGAAAAUCCUGAGAAAAAUAUAUAAAAAUCAGCAUGACGGAAGCUUCCGGAGCACCAAAGAUGGGCCAGAGGGGAGCCAUGGCUUGCCUAGGCGGCCUCCCUCGGCCUACCCCCUGGACGCGCCCACAUGUCGCCUGGGUGGGUCCCACCUCCUCUGGUGCCCUACCUUGGCUCCUAUUUUUUACCCUCAUGGAGGAAAGGGUGAUUCCCGAACCCUUUUCUCCAGAAGCAAUUCCGAUCUCCGUCGCCAUCGCCAACAAGUUUCGGGGGACCAGAAUUCCUCUGUCGGCACCCUUCCGGGACGGGGAAGUGCCGCCGGAUUCAUCUCCAUCAACGUUGCUUCCUCCCUCCAUGAAGCAGGAGUAGUUCCUCCUUGGGGCUGAGGUCUUCUACAAUAGCUAUGUGGUUAAUUCUCUCUCCCAUGAUGUGAUCUUGAUUGUGAUCAUAGGCUAUGUUAACCUAGGGUGAUCCCAUGAUGUUUCCCCUUCUUCUAUGUAUUGGAUUGAUGCACUCACUUGAUCUUAUCUAGUAUAAUCGCCGAGACCAUGGUGACAGCGGUCUAUUGGACAUGGAUUAGAAGAAUAUUUUCAUGAGUGAUUUCCUCUUUUGUGAAAUGAUUGAAGAUUGAGAGUCUCUUGGUGCUUGUCUUUGACUAUCCUUGAGAUACGUUGUGGUGAUUGUGGUACUCUCUUUGGAUGGCCGCGGUGACAUUGGGAAAUCCAUAGAUGAGAACUACAAACUCUGAGGUGUGCUUUUGUACCCCUACAUAAUUCUCGUCCUCUCUUGAUCACAAAGGAAUGACCUCUGAGUACGUCACCAUUGCAUGUUUUAGUGGAAAUAUCAUGUGAUUAGACUAUGUUAAUGUUGUUGGGAGUUGCCACUAGUGAAAGCAUGAAGCCUCGGCCUUGUUUCUCACCAUUGUUACACCGUUUAUGCUCACUUUUGUCACUUGCUACCUUGCUGCAAUUUUUAUUUCAGAUUUACAAUACCUUGUUUUACCAUCCAUAUCACUUGUCUUUUAACAUCUCUUCGCCGAACUAGUGCACCUAUACAAUUGACAACUGUAUUAGGUGUGUUGGGGACACAGAGACUUCUUUGUAUCUUAAUUGCAGGGUUGCUUGAGAGAGACCAUCUUCAACUUCUACUUCCCUGAGUUCGAUAAACCUAGGUAAUCCACUUGAAGGAAAUUGAUGUUGUCCUACAAACCUCUGCGCUUGGAGGCCCAACAUAGUCUACAAGGAUAGACGCAUGCGUAGACAUCAGCCUCUCAUUGGAACCGAGACUUGCGGUGGCGUAAAAAGUGUUUCAGGACUCCCUCUGGUGUUUUUAGGGUAGAUGAGAAUUUAUAAAUCAAAGAACAGAGUCGGGAGGGCCACGAGGAAGGCACAAGCUAUCACGACACCCCCCAGGACGAGCCCUGUUGUCUUGUGGGCCCCUCGUAAGGUCUCCAACUUUCUUUCGAUGCUUGUUGGUCUUCUUUUGGUCCAUAAAAAAUCACCAAAACGUUUCAGGGCAAUUGGACCUCGUUUGGUAUUGAAAACCUGCAAAGUGAAAAACACGCAGAAAACAACAACUCGCACUAGGCACUCGGUCAAUAGGUUAGCGAUAAAAAAUAAUAUAAAAUGGUAAAUGGAUACCCCAAAAGUAUUAUAGAUUGAUAAUAUAUCAGCAUGGAAUAAUCAAAAAAUUAUAGAUACAUUGGAGACGUAUCAAGCAUCCCUAAGCUUAUUUUUUGCCCAUCCUCGAGUAAAUGAUAAAAAUAGAAUUUUUUAUGCGACAUGCUACCUAGUAUGUAACCUUGUGCAUGUAUGCUCAUUAAGAAACGAUGAAUUACCAAACAUUAACAUAGCAAUACUUAUAGGUAUAAGGAGCAAAUCAUUAAUCUUUCAAAGUAUAUGAUCCUCACAAUUUUUUUACCCCCAUCCAUCUUUAUUAUAUUAGCAAGGCAUGGCUCCAUAUUCACCACAUUAAUACAAAUGUAAAGCACCACUGUGUCCAUGUCAGGCAAUUGGAUCGUACUUUUUCAAUACUCAUCAACUUUUUAUUCUUCACGCAAUACAUGAGCGUGAACCAUUGGACAUAGCAUAAAGAUGUAAUAGAAUAUGGUGGUAGGUUUCAAAUGGGUAAAAGUGGAGAAGAUAGUCUCACAUCAACUAGGCGUACCAACGAGCUAUGGAGAUGCCUCUCGAUAGAUAUCAAUGCAGGGACUAGGGGUUGCCAUGCAAAUGCUGCACACGAGCUAUAAGUGUAUGAAAUCUCCAUUGAAGCCAAGUGGGGUGUGAAUCCAACUUGCUUGCUCACGAAGACCUCAGGAAUUUGAGGAAGCCCUUCAUAGGAAUAUACAAGGCAAGCUUAUGAAAAAGUGAUUCCCACUAGCAUAUGAAUGAUAUAACAUGAGACUCUCUAUAUGAAGAACAAGGUGCCACUUUGAGGCACAAGUGUGGUAAAGGAUAGCAGCAAAGUCCGUUCUCUCUUUUUCUCUCAUUCAUUUUUAUGGUGGGCCCAUUUGGCCUCCCCCAUCAUCACACUUUUAUUUACUUACAAGUCAAUAUGAAAAAUGAUAGGACUAUAUGACUCAGAAUGAAUGCCUCUGAGAGUGUACCAGGAUGUGCAAAGAUGUAGCAUGACAUGUAUCAAAAACAUGAUGAACGGUGACUUUUCCACAAAUACUAUGUCAUCUCUAUAUGAUCAUGCAAAUCAUUAUGAUGAUGAACGAACUAGUCAUGUGAAGUGACGAUGGUAUUUGCAUCGCAAUAUAUCUCGGAAUGGCUAUGGAAAUGCCAUGAUAGGUAGACAUGGUGGCUGUUUGGAGGAGAAUAUAAAAUGUUUAUGUCAAAUAGAGCCUGUCAUGUCACGGGGUUUGGAUGCACCGGCAAAAGUUGCAUCGAUCCUCAAGGUGAGAACGGGCGAUGCACCGUACCGAAGAGGCUAGCAAAUAUGAGGAGGUCAGAGUGCAUAUGUCCAUGGUGUCAUAUUAGUCAUGAAGAACUCAUAUACUUAUUGCAAAGUUUUAUUAGUUUUAUCACAAAUCAAAGUACUACUCGCAUGCCCCGAGGGAGAGGGUUGGUGGGAAUUAACCAUCGCGCGACUCCGACUCAAAACAACACAAGGAUUUCAAUGAGGAAUAGAAAUGCUCACACAUCAUCACCAUGCCUUUUAAUUUUUUAAAUGAACAAGAAGUUUAACAUCUCUUAAUAUCGACACCUAUCUGAAUUAAUAAUAAUGAACUCACACCUUUUUCACAUCACCACAUCAAUAUCAUUAACCCACAAUUUCUCUAUAUGUGCUACAUGAUGGUUUUUUAUCAUCAUUCAUUGGAUACUCAUUAUUUUUGAUCUAGUCUUAUGACCCAUGAAAAUUACCGUCACUAUUUUUUCCAGCUCUAAAAAAAUAUAAGUGAAGAAUGAGAGCAUAAUAUUUCUAUAAAAUCUACACGCCACUGUGCUCAAAAAGAUAAAAGUGAAGUACUAGGGCAACUGCUAAGCUCAAAAGAUAUAAGUGAACCACAUAGAGUAUUCUAACAAAUUGUGAUGAUGUGGUAUGUCUAUCAUAUAGGUGUGCUUGGGAAACAAUGAUUGUGGAAAACAAAAAUUAAAAGCAAACAAAAGCAAACAACGUUCCAAGCAAAACUCAUAUCAUGUGAUGAAUAAAAAUAUAGCUCCAAGUAACAUACAGAUGGAUUAAGACGAAAAUAGGGGAUGUCGUCCGGGGCAUCCCCAAGCUUAGACGCUUGAGUAUUCCUAGAAUAUUACCUUAGGGUUCCUUGGGCAUCCCCAAUCUUAAUAUUUUUGUGCUCCUCAAUCCUUUGUCCAUUGGGACAAUACCCAAAACUUGAAAACUUCAAGCACACAAAACAAAACUUCGUGAGAAUCGUUAGUAUAAGCAACAUAUCAAAUACUUUCAUGUGCUGUUAAAAAUUUAUUAUUAUUUUAUUUUAGAAUAGGUUAUUGUAUCUUAACUCCUCCAUGGCUUAUACCCCUGAUAUAAUCCAUAGCAUCAUCAAAACAAGCAAACUACACAUGCAAAAACAGAAUCAGACUGAAACGGAACAAUCUGUAGUAAUCUGUAAUGACCCUAUACUUAUGUAAUGCCAACAAUUCUGGAAAAUUAGGACGACUUGAGGAAUUUGUAUAUCAGUACUGCAUAAAACAUUUAGCUUAAAAAUACGUUCCAGUAAAAUCAGAGAAAUUCUGCACUAGACAUCAAAGUUUCUAUUUUUGCACCGUAUCAAUUCUACUCAUCAUGCAAAUCAUCCCAAAGGCUUAACUUGGCACAAAUACUAUUUAAACAUAAAACCACAAUCAUUACAGAGGCAAUAAUCAUGUUAUCACACACUAACAUAAAAUUAAAAGAAAAAUAAUAAUAUAACUAUUAGGUUGCCUCCCGACAAGCGCUACUGUUUUACACCCCUAGCUAUGCAUAUUGCAUAGUUUUGAAUGUUGUCAUCUUUCACACUCAUCUCAUGAUUGAUUCAUAUGGUGGUAUAAUUACUUUUCUAGGGAAUUGCUCCAUUCCUUUCUUUAAUGGAAAUUGAAACCUUAUAUUUCACUCUUUCAUGUCAAUGAUUGCACCUAUAGUUCGUAGGAAGGGUCUUCCAAGUAUAAUUGGACAAGUAGGGUUGCAAUCAAUAUCAAGCACAAUGAAAUCUACAGGAACAUAAUUUUUAUUUUCAAUAUCAGCACAUCAUUUAUUCUACCCAAGGUCUUCUUGAUGGUAGAAUCUGCAAGAUGCAAGUUUAGGGAACAUUCUUCAAUAUUAGUGAGACGAGACACAUCACAUAAAGUUAUAGGUAUAGUUGAAACACUAGCACCAAAGUCACACAAAGCAUUGCAUUCAUAUUUAUUUAUCUUAAUUUUGAUAGUAGCUUCCCACUCAUCAUGCAACUUUCUAGGAAUAGAAACUUCAAGCUCAAGUUUCUCAUCAUAAGAUUUCACCAUAGCUUCCAAUAUAUGUUGAGUAAACGCUUUGUUUUGUUUAUAAGCAUUGGGUGAGCUAAUAAUGGAUCACAACAAGGAAAUACAUUCUACUAAAGAGAAAUUAUAAUAAUUAAAGUCCUUGUAAUCAAAUAUAGUGGGCACAUCGCUAGUUAAAGUUUUGACCUCUCCAAACCCACUUUUUCAGUUUUACCAUUAAAAUCAUCACCCUCCAAGCAAAUGGGGCGCUAUUUUACUAGAGUUGACUCACCUCUAGUACCUUUAUCUUUAACAUUCAUAGAGGUAUAUAAAGAUUCAAUAGGAGAAGUACCAAUCAUUUUAAGAUCUCCAUCAUGGUUUGUAAUGGGAAAAUAUUCACGUUUAGCAGCCAUCCCAUUUACUAGAGUGGUUUGCUUAUCGGAGAUUUUUCCUAAUAACUCUUCAGUGAUAGAAACUUGUGAUUAGAGUCUAGACACUUCUUUAUUAAAUUCAUCAAGUUGUUUACUUAUAGCAUCUAACAAGGUUGAAUGUUCCUUUACCUUAGAAGCAAAGAAAUUAUUGUGGUCAUAUUGCAAAGUCAUGAAGGUAUUCAUGGAACCUUCUAUUUUGGACAUCCUUUGAUAAUAAGAGAUAGUGUGAAAUCUAUCUUGAGACAUGGUGAGCGAGCAAGCAAAGUAACAAGAAAGACACACAAACUAGAGGGCGAAGAUGCAGUCUAGUUACAGGCUAAGCAAGCAAAGAUAAAUAUUUUCAUAUUUUUAUUUUUUAUAAGACAAACUAAAUAUACCAGCAAAUAUAAAGAGGAACAAGUGAAUGAAAUUUUGUGUGGAGUUACUUGGUAAUUGGUGAUGAUAUUCCCCGGCAACGGCGCCACAAAUCCGUCGUGAUACUCAUGAUCUGCGUUGGAUUUUCCGUGAAGAGGAACGGGUUAUCGCAACACAUAGUGGGCAAGUAUUUCCCUCAGUUAUGAAACCAAGGUUUGUCGAACCAAUAGUAACAUCAACCAAAACCGUCUUCAACAGCUGCACACAAAAGAACAAACAACUUGCACCCAACACGGGCAAUAGGGUUGUCAAUCCUCUUGUUUUGUUAUUUGCAAGCAAGUGAGGUGUGUAGAUAAUUCUAGAUAGCAAUAUAAAAUAAAAAUAAGAAUAACAACAAGGUAAUGAAGGUUUUAUCAAUAUGUUGUGAAUAGACCAGGGGGGCAUUGCUUUCCCUACUAGCAUCUCUCGUGAAAAAUAACAUAAGGUGAGUGAACAUAUUAAUGUUGGGCAAUUGACAGAAAAGCGGAUAGUUAUGCGUUAUUCACGGCAAUGAUCAUGUAAUCCCUCUGGUUCUUUUUCUUUGCAUUUAAGCUCCAUCCCGGAUACCAAGGAGAGGAGAGUUGAGAAAAUUUAGGACUAGUUUGCCCUUGCGUUGCUACAGAGGAGAUGCUGAGCAGUUACUCCAUGCAUGCGAAUGAUUGGCGUGCAACCCUAUAUUCUUGCUCCCACAUAACUCCUCUCUCCAUCUUUCUGCAUGUGUCUCUCUCCUCUCCAUAUCUCAUGCAUGCACCUCUCUCUCUCUCCGGUUCUGCAUGCAUGCACAUCUCUCUCCUUUCCAUCUCUCUGUAUGUGCUUCUCUCUCUCUAUACAAAAUCUUCUCGCCUUCCGCGCCAAUCUCUCACCCAUUGCAUGCCCUAUGAGCAGGAAGAACAUGAGCGGCGUUUGAGCUGGUGGAGUUGGAUCCAAAACAAUUCAUUCAAUUUGAUGAAAUUUUUCCGCCAAAAUUUCCAACUCCCUCCAAAACUGAACAACCCGCCAUGGAUUAGCUCCAAAUUUAGCUUACCUCCAUGGCUAGACUCAAAAGUUUUGUCUAUAAAUCCCUGCCCCAGCCAUGAACAGAACCAUACAAAAUUCUCUCGUCACUCUCUUUGUUCCUCAAUUUGGCCAUCGACUCGGACGAGGUGGAGGAUCAAUAUGAUGGUCAUCCUGAGGACAUCAACUACGUCUACGUAUUCGAGGAGAUCGACGGUGGUAUGAACUGAUUGUUCUUGUUUCAUUUUACUCCAUUUAUUUUGUUCUAUUUGAUCACUUUUGAACGUCCAAAUCAACUACACAAAAUGAAGCCGUCGAGAAAAACCAGCAGGCCAGCGGAAGCGAUGGCAAUGGCAACACCGGUCAGCCAGCGGACUUGGAGGUGCAAGGCGGAAGUAGCGGCGCUCGUCUGAGCCGCACCGACCACGUGCACGAUGCGAACUCUAAAGGCGGCGGUGGCGACACGGACCACGUUAACAACGAGGACACCUCCAGUGAAAGAAGCAGCAGCCACAACCGUGGCCACUCUUGUCUAGGCUUGACCGGUCGUGGGCUCCGCAACAUGGACCACAAAAGAGGCCUACAAGUCACCGGCAGAGGAAACAUGCAAGUCACCGGUGGAGGAGAUGUAGCCCCUGAUCGUGGAUGGCUAGGCCUCCCUGUCCACGGGCGAUCUCACGCUGGCACGAUCCAGUGGUAGCCAGAGCACCCUUUCGUGACUGGACGAGGACAUGGAAGAGGCGCGCCAUCGGGUCGCGGUCGCGGCAGGCUUGGCAUGGUUGGGCGUGGUCGUGCUCGAUGGUGCCAACUUCCUGACUUGAACGUUGCUGCAUGCGAGGAUGUGGAAGAGAAUGGUGAAGCUCACACAGGUGACCCCAUGCAUGGUGAGAAACUUGCCCAGCACCGGCGGGCAAUUCUAUUUGGUUGGUUGAUUCAAUUAACUAAUGAAAAUUUGGUUUGUUUUUUUGUAAAAUUUCAAAUCUGACUUUAAAUUUUCUUUAGGGAAUAAUCCACAACCUCCACAGCCACGUGAGUGGAGUGACAUAGCUAAGCUCACCGCCUAUGUCAUGUUGUUGGAGAGGACAAGUCUAGGAAUUAUGAAGCGUCGAGUGACCAAGGAAGUGUCUCGUUUGACUGGUAUGCCACAUAGAACUGUCCAUGACUUACGGAACAAGGGAAAGUUAUAUGGAGGGAUGCUUGGAGUGUUUAAUAAGAAGCCAAAAAUUGUGGUCAUAAAAGGAUAGCCAUCUACUCGGAGUCUAUGAAGGUAGUCAACAAUAGGAAGAGAACAACCAUCAAAGACCUCGCAAACGAGUUAAAUGUGUCCAAAACCAUGGUUUGGAGGAGGCUUAAAGAGAAGUAGAUUAGACGCCACAACAAUUCCAUCAAGGAACUCUCACUGAUUUGAACAAGAGACCUAGGGUUGAGUGGUGCUUCUCGCAGUUUCAGGAAGAGAGCCUACAAGAACAUCCGUCUUUUAAAGAAAUGUACAAUGUCAUUCAUAUAGAUGCGAAAUGGUUCUAUCGCACUAAGAAGUCUCUCAAGCUAUACAUGGCAGUAGAUGAGGAAGAACCAGAACGGUUCACGUAGAACAAGAAUUAUAUAGAGAGGGUUAAGUUUCUCGUAGCUGUAGCACACCCUUGCUUUGAUGUGAAUGAUAAUGCGACGUUUGAUGGUAAAAUUGGAAUAUGGCCAUUCACUUUUCAGGAAGCGACUAAAAGGGAUAGUCCUAACGCUCUAACCGAGACAAUUGUGACAAAGGUCAUCCCCAAGGUGACAAGGUAUGUGAGUAGAGACUUCUUAGUGAACAAGGUUAUCCCCGCGAUCAAGGCAAAGUGGCCUCCUGAACGUGGGCAUCCUAUAUUCAUCGAGCAAGAUAAUGCUAGGACUCACGUGAAUGUUGAUGAUUCGGUUUUCCUUGCCGCGGCCCAAGCGGAUGGGUGGCACAUUUGUUUGGUGUGUCAGCCACAGAACUUGCCAGAUCUUAACAUGCUUGAUCUUGGUUUCUUUGCUGCCUUGUAGUCAUUGUUCCAGAAUCUAUUUCCUGGUUCCAUCGAUGACAUAAUUAUGAAGGUGUGCCAAGCAUUUGGUCAGUACCCCGCCGAGAGGUGCAACCAAAUAUUUCUCACUCUACAAUCUUGCAUGCGUGAGCUUCUAAAGUACAAUGCAGGCCAACACUACAAUGUGCCGUAUAUGAGAAAGAAAGUCCUUCAACAUCUUCAUAUCUUAUCGGUGACGUUGCCUUGUGAUUGAUCCAUCACGGACAAAGCGAGGGCAUUCUUACUUGAGUAGUGUUGUGUUGUCUUGUUGAUGUAAGGUUAGUGCUAUGUUGUCUUGUUGAUGUAAUGGGAUCAUGUAAUCCAUCUUUUGUUGCAAUGAGAAUGAACAUUUGGUUUGAGAGAAAAAUAUGAUCAAAGUUAACAUCACAUCCAAUGACCGAUAACAAAAUUAACAUCACAUGAUAAAAGAAACAACCGCUACUUGAACCAUCUAUGCAUGCAUCAUCACAUAUUCUUCGAUCAAGUUCAACAAAAGAGAGAACCACUAUUGGAACCACUACUUGUGAAGUCCAUGAUCAGUGUUGGAUCAUUUUAAAAUUUCCUUGAGUUCAUCCUUAUCAAAUUAUCUCAAUAGUAAAUGCUCAUCAGUUCUAGCCUGACCUCUUCUGCGCCGAGAGGCACAAAGAAUUGCUCGAGCGGCAGCAAUGGGUCGCCAUCAACCAUCUUGCCACACUUUAGUCCAUCGUAGAUGCCACUAUCAUCGACGAGCGCAUGAUGGCCAUCCUCGUCCACUAGGUUAGCACCAUCCACCUUGAUGCCCAUGUCGGCGAGCUCGCGCACCAGUUCGGUGAGCCGGUGCACCUUGUUGGCCAGCAUGUUCACCUUGUCGACCAGCGCGCGUGCGACGUGCUCAAGUGCAUGGAUGCGACCGUCGUUCGGGUGCAUGCUAUAGUCCGUGAACGCACCACCUUCCACGACUGUGUCGCUGUCUGUGGGCACACUGCCUUCCAUGACUGCAUUGCCAUCCGCGAGCGGCAGCAUGCCAUUGUCCGCAGACAUGCUGCCUUCCAUGAAUGCGUCACCAUCCGAGAGUGGGAGGACUUCGUCGUCCACGAGGGUGCUGCCCUUUGGGAGCGAUACAAUGGCACUACUCGUGAGGACAUCGCCUACGGGGAGCACGCCUUCGUACGUGAGCUCGCUGUCGUCCACAUCGAGCAAGCUGUCCUCCACGAGCAAACUUUCAUGCAUGGACUCACUAUCCUCUAUAGGUUGGCUGUCCUCCCACAAUCAUGAUGGGUAGAUUUCAUCCAUGCAGAUGUAGGGGGUGUGGAGGAGAAGGUAGAGUGGUAUGUGGAGGAUCGGAAGGUGAGAUGAGACCGGUGGGAAGGAGAGGAAGAGGCAGGCGACUAGCUGCCUUGGGAAGAGGCGAUGGAUGUGCAUGGGCGAGAGAUGUAGUAAUUGCGACCACGCGUGCGAGUCAACGAAAAGGAGGGGCAAAGUUGGAAAGAACAACCAAAAGAAGCCAGUACACACAACAUUGAGGAAAAAUGGAUUGUUCUUAAACACAAAGAAAAAGGACCGGAGGGAAUAUAUAUAGGCAUCACGUCCGUAAAAAAAUAGGCCGACUCCUGCGUGCACCUAUUAUUAUUACUCCAUUCAUCGACUACUAUCCAGCCUGCAUCUAGAGUAUUAAGUAAAACAGAGUAAUGCAUGGAGAACAAUGACAUGAUGUAGACAAAGUAAAAUCAAGCAACAUGAAUAAACCUCAUCGUUUUAUCCUUAGUAGUAGCAAGACAAAGACGCAUCUUGUCCCCUUCUAUCACUGGGAUAUAGAAAUUUGCCAGGUUGAACCUACCACAACAAACCUCUCUCAUCGAAGAAAUAUCAAUCUAGUUGGCCAAACUAUUUCAAUAGAUUGGAGAGAAUUACGAAGCUAUCAUAAUCAUGCACAUAAGAAUCAUAUAAGUAUUCAGAGGUGACUGGAAUAUUUAUCACGAAUAAUGUGAACAUAAACUCACAAUUCGUCGGAUCCCAAAAAACGCAUUGUACAAAAGGAAUUACAUCAUAUGGAUCAAAGUAAAGAUGUGAUGAUCAUUGUAUCGAAGAUCAAAGAGAGAGAGAGAUUGACAUCUAGGUAUUGACUAUGGACCCGUAGGUUUGUGGUGAACUACUCACACAUCAUUGUGAGGGCAACAAGGUUGAUGAAGAGGCCCUCCGUGACCGACCCCCUACGACAGGGUGCCGGAACGGAGCUCCAGAUGGCCUACCGUCAGAAUAGAGACUUGCGGCGGUGUAAAAAGUGUUUCAGGACUCCCUCUAAUGUUUUUAGGGUAGAUGCGAAUUUAUAAGCCAAAGAACGGAUUUGGGAUGGCCACGAGGGAGGCACAAACCAUUAGGGCGUGCCCCCCAGCCCGCGCCCUGUUGGCUUGUGGGGCCCUCGUGAGGCCUCUGUUAGUGCAUAUUUCUCCAUAUGUGCCUCGUGACAAUCUCUAUGGACUAAUGGUUGCAUUAAGUUAUAUUCGAAGGAUUUGCCCAUAGGCACUUCUUGAAGUCCAGUUGUUGGUUUCAAGGAGUUUAUAUGAUGACCAAGGUGAUAUUCAAGGUAUUAUCCAAAGAAUGGUCAUAAAGACACAAGGUUGAUCAAGACUAAGACAGAGAGUAAAUCAAGUUGAUCAACACACAAAGCGUACAAGAUGUACCGAUAGGGAUCAAGUGAUCCCAUGGCAUGGUGAGCAUUGUCCAUUACGCUUUUGUGUACUAAUCCAUGGUCUUCGUGAGAGUUCUAUGUGGGGUUAGGUGUGUGUUGGAAAUAUGCCCUAGAGGCAAAAAUAAAUUAGUUAUUAUUAUAUUUCUUAGUUCAUGAUAAUCAUUUAUUAUCCAUGCUAUAAUUGUAUUGAAUGAAGACUUAUAUACAUGUGUGGAUACAUAGAAAAAACACUGUCCCUAGCAAGCCUCUAGUUGGCUAGCCAGUUGAUCAAAGNAUACGGGAUUAUAUGAAUCCUUGGCACUGAGGUUCAAACGAUAAAGAUCUUCGUAGAAUAUGUGGGAUCCAAUAUGGGCAUCCAGGUCCCGCUAUUGGAUAUUGACCGAGGAGUCACUCGGGUCAUGUCUGCAUAGUUCUCGAACCCGCACGGUCUGCACACUUAAGGUUCGACGUUGUUUUAUGCGUAUUUGAGUUAUAUGGUUGGNNNNNNNNNNNNNNNNNNNNNNNNNNNNNNNNNNNNNNNNNNNNNNNNNNNNNNNNNNNNNNNNNNNNNNNNNNNNNNNNNNNNNNNNNNNNNNNNNNNNNNNNNNNNNNNNNNNNNNNNNNNNNNNNNNNNNNNNNNNNNNNNNNNNNNNNNNNNNNNNNNNNNNNNNNNNNNNNNNNNNNNNNNNNNNNNNNNNNNNNNNNNNNNNNNNNNNNNNNNNNNNNNNNNNNNNNNNNNNNNNNNNNNNNNNNNNNNNNNNNNNNNNNNNNNNNNNNNNNNNNNNNNNNNNNNNNNNNNNNNNNNNNNNNNNNNNNNNNNNNNNNNNNNNNNNNNNNNNNNNNNNNNNNNNNNNNNNNNNNNNNNNNNNNNNNNNNNNNNNNNNNNNNNNNNNNNNNNNNNNNNNNNNNNNNNNNNNNNNNNNNNNNNNNNNNNNNNNNNNNNNNNNNNUGAUAUAUAGGAUGACCUCAUUUGAUUACCGGAAGUUUUUCGGAGUUACCGGGAAUGUACCGGGAAUGACGAAUGGGUUCCGGGUGUUCACCGGGGGGGCAACCCACCCCGGGGAAGUCCAUAGGCCUUGGGAGUGGCGCACCAGCCCUUAGUGGGCUGGUGGGACAGCCCAAGAAGGCCCUAUGCGCCAUAGGAAGAAAAUCAAAGAGAAAAGAAAAAAAGGAGGAGGUGGGAAAGGGAAGAAGGACUCCACCUUCCAAACCAAGUUGGAUUCGGUUUGGAAGGGGAGACCUUCCCCCCUUUGGCUCGGCUGACCCCCUUAGGGCUCCUUGAGCCCCAAGGCAAGGCCCCCCCUCUCCCACCUAUAUAUACGGAGGUUUUAGGGCUGAUUUGAGACAACUUUGCCAUGGCAGCCCGACCACAUACCUCCACGGUUUUUCCUCUAGAUCGCGUUUCUGCGGAGCUCGGGCGGAGCCCUGCUGACAUAAGAUCACCACCAACCUCCGGAGCACCGUCAUGCUGCCGGAGAACUCAUCUACCUCUCCGUCUCUCUUGCUGGAUCAAGAAGGCCGAGAUCAUAGUCGAGCUGUACGUGUGCUCUACGCAGAGGUGCCGUCCGUUUGGUACUAGAUCGUGGGACUGAUCGCGGGACGGUUCGCGGGGCGGAUCGAGGGAAGUGAGGACGUUCCACUACAUCAACCGCGUUCACUAACGCUUCUGCUGUGCGAUCUACAAGGGUACGUAGAUCGAACAUCCCCUCUCGUAGAUGGACAUCACCAUGAUAAGUCUUCGUGCGCGUAGGAAAUUUUUUGUUUCCCAUGCGACGUUCCCCAACAGUGGUAUCAGAGCUAGGUUCAUGCGUAGAUGUCUUCUCGAGUAGAACACAAAAGUUUUUGUGGGCAGUGAUGUGCGUUUUGCUGCCCUCCUUAGUCUUUUCUUGAUUCCGCGGUAUUGUUGGAUCGAAGCGGCUCGGACCAACAUUACUCGUACGCUUACGAGAGACUGGUUUCAUCGCUAUGAGUAACUCCGUUGCUCAAAGAUGACUGGCGGGUGUCAGUUUCUCCAACUUUAGUUGAAUCGGAAUUGACCGAGGAGGUCCUUGGAUGAGUUUAAAUAGCAAUUCAUAUAUCUCCGUUGUGGUGUUUACGUAAGUAAGAUGUGAUCCUACUAGAUACCCAUGGUCACCACGUAAAAGAUGCAACAACAAAAUUAGAGGACGUCUAACUUGUUUUUGCAGGGUAUGCUUGUGAUGUGAUAUGGCCAACGAUGCGAUGUGAUAUAUUGGAUGUAUGAGAUGAUCAUGUUGUAAUAGUUAAUAUCGACUUGCACGUCGAUGGUACGGCAACCGGCAGGAGCCAUAGGGUUGUAUUUAAACUAACGUUUGUGCUUGCAUAUGUGUUUACUAUAUUGCUAGGACGUAGCUUUAGUAGUAAUAGCAUGAGUAGCACGACAACCCCGAUGGCGACACGUUGAUGGAGAUCAUGGUGUGACGCCGGUGACAAGAAGAUCGUGUCGGUGCUUUGGUGAUGGAGAUCAAGAAGCACGUGAUGAUGGCCAUAUCAUGUCACUUAUGAAUUGCAUGUGAUGUUAAUCCUUUUUGCACCUUAUCUCGCUUAGAACGACGGUAGCAUUAUCAGGUGAUCUCCCACUAAAAUUUCAAGACGAAAUUGUGUUCUCCCCGACUAUGCACUGUUGCGACAGUUCUUCGUUUCCAGACACCACGUGAUGAUCGGGUGUGAUAGACUCAACGUUCACAUACAACGGGUGCAAAACAGUUGCACACGCAGAACACUCGGGUUAAGCUUGACGAGCCUAGCAUGUGCAGACAUGGCCUCGGAACACAUGAGACCGAAAGGUCGAGCAUGAAUCGUAUAGUUGAUAUGAUUAGCAUAGAGAUGCUUACCACUGAAACUAUUCUCGACUCACGUGAUGAUCGGACUUGAGAUAGUGGAUUUGGAUCAUGUACCACUCAAAUGACUAGAGAGAUGUACUUUUUGAGUGGGAGUUCUUAAGUAAUAUGAUUAAUUGAACUAAUUGUCAUGAACAUAGUCUAAUGGUCUUUGCGAAUUACGAUGUAGCUUGCGCUAUAGCUCUACUGUUUUUAUAUGUUCCUAGAGAAAAUUUAGUUGAAAGUUGAUAGUAGCAAACUUUGCAGACUAAGUCUGUAAAACCGAGGAUUGUCCUCGUUGCUGCGUAGAAGGCUUAUGUCCUUAAUGCACCACUCGGUGUGCUGCACCUCGAGCGUCGUCUGUGGAUGCUGUGAACAUCCGACAUACACGUUUCUGAUGACUACACGAUAGUUCAGUGCAAAAUAUUUGAUGGCUUAGAAGCAAGGCACUGAAGACGUUUUGAAACGUCACGGAACAUAAGUGAUGUUCUAAAGAGAUGAAAUUGUGAUUUCAUGCUCGUGCCCUUGUUGAGAGGUACGAGACCUCCGACAAGAUUCUUUGUCCACAAAGUAAAGGAGAAAAGCUCAAUCGUUGAGCGUGUGCUCAGAUUGUCUGAGUACGACAAUCACUUGAAUCAAGUGGGAGUCAAUCUUCCACAUGAGAUAGUGAUGAUUCUCCAAAGUCACUGCCACCAAGCUGUGAGAGCUUCGUGAUGAACUAUAACAUAUCAAGGAUAUAUACAAUGAUCCUUGAGCGAUUCACGAUGUUUGACACUGCGAAAGUAGAAAUCAAGAAGGAGCAUCAAUAGUUGAUGGUUUGUAAAACCACUAAGUUUCAAGAAAGGCAAGGGCUAGAAGGGAUACUUCGUGAAACGGCAAAACAGUUGCUGCAAUAAUGAAGAGACCCAAGAUUAAACCCAAACCCGAGACUAAGUGCUUCUGUAAUGAGGGGAACAGUCACUGAGGCGGAGCGACUCUAGAUACUUGGUAGAUAAGAAGGCUGGCAAAAGUCGAAAGAAGUAUAUUUGAUAUACAUGAUGUUGAUGUGUACUUUACUAGUACUCCUAGUAGCAUGAGGGUAUUGGAUACCGGUUCCGUUGCUAAGCGAUUAGUAACACGAAAUGAAAGCUACGUCAUAAACGGAGACUAGCUAAAGGCGAGGUGACGAUACGUGUUGGAAGUGUUUCCAAGGUUGAUAUGAUCAAACGUCGCACGCUCCCUCUACCAUCGGGAUUGGUGUUAAACCUAAAUAAUUGUUAUUUGGUGCUUGCGUUAAGCAUGAACAUGGUUGGAUCGUGUUUAUUGCAAUACGAUUGUUCAUUUAAAGAGAAUAAUGGUUACUCUAUUUUCUUGAAUAAUCACCUUCAAUGGUUUAUUGAAUCUCGAUUGUAGUGUUACACAUGUUCAUGAUAUUGGUGCCAAAAGAUACGAGGUAAUGAUGAUAGUACCACUUACUUGUGGCACUGCCGCUUGAGUCAAGUUGGUAUAAAUUGCAUGAAGAGGCCCCAUGCUGAUGGAUCUUUAUACUCACUGGAUUUUGAAUCACUAGUGACAUGCAAAUCAUACCACAUGAGCAAGGCCUUGUUUUCAUUGAGAUGAAAUAAGAUAGUAACUUGUUGGAAGUGAUACAUUUUGAUGUAUGCGGUCCAAUGGGUGCUGAGGCACGCAGUGGAUAUCAUUAUAUUCUUACUUCAAUGACGAUUUGAGUAGAUACUAGAGUAUUUGCUUAAUGAAUCACAAGUCUGAAAUAUUGAAAAGUUCAAUUCUGUUUCGGAGUGAGGUUCGUCGUAACAAGAGGAUAAAUUGUCUAUGAUAUGAUCACAGAAAUGAAUAUCUGAGUUACGAGUUUUGGUACGCAGUUAAGACAAUGUGGAAAUUGUUUCGCGGUUCAUGCCACCUAGAACAUCAUAGUGUGAUGAUGUGUCUGAACGUCAUAGCCACACACUAUUUGGUAUGGUGCAUGCUAUGAUGUCUCUUAUCGAAUUACCACUAUCGUUUGUGGGUUAAGCAUUAGAGACAACCGCAUUCACUUUAAAUAGGGCACCACGUAUUUCCGUUGAGAUGACACAGUAUAGACUGAGGUUUAGAGAAAUCUAAACUGUCGUUUCUUGAAAGUUUGGGGUUUCGACACUUAUGUGAAAAAGUUUCAGUCUGAUAAAGCUCGAACCCAAAGCGGAUAAAUGCAUCUUCAUAGGAUAUCCAAAACAUUUGGGUACAUCUCCUAUCUCAGAUCCGAAAGCAAAGUGUUUGUUUCUAGAAACGGAUCCUUUCUCGAGGAAAGGUUUCUCUCGAAAGAAUUGAGUGGGAGGGUGGUAGAACUUGAUGAGGUUAUUGAACCGUCACUUUGACCAGUGUGUAGCAGGGCGCAGGAAGUUGUUCCUGUGGCGCCUACACCAAUUGAAGUGAAAGCUGAUGAGGGUGAUCAUCGAGCAUCGGAUCAAGUUACUACAAACCUCGUAGGUUGACAAGGUCGCGUACUACUGCAGAGUGGUACGGUAACCCUGUCUUGGAGCUCAUGUUGUUGAGCAACAGUGAACCUACGAGUUAUGGAGAAGCAAUGGUGGGCCCGGAUUCCGACAAAUGGCUUGAGGCCAUGAAAUCCGAGAGAGGAUCCAUAUAUAAAACAAAGUGUAGACUUUGGAGGAACAACUUGAUGGUAGUAAGACUAUUGAGUAAAGAUGGAUCUUUGUAAGGAAGACAGACGACGAUGGUGAUAAGUCACUAUUAAGAAAAGCUCGACUUGUCGCAAAGAUGUUUCUGACAAGAUCAAACAGUUGACUAUGAUGAGACUUUCUCACUCGUAGCGAUGCUAAAAGUCUGUUGGAAUUAUGUUAGUAGUUGCUGCAUUAUUUAUGAAAUAUUGCACAUAGGAUGUCAAAACAUUGUUUCCUCAACGGUUUCCUUGAGCAAACAUUGUAUGUGAUACAACCAGAAGGUUUUGUCGAUCCUAAAGAUACUAACAAGUAUGCAAGCUCCAGUGAUCCUUCAAUGGACUGGUGCAAGCAUCUCGGAGUUGGAAUAUACACUUUGAUGAGGUGAUCAAAGAUUUUGGGUUUGUACAAGGUUUAUGAGAAACUUGUAUUUCCAAAGAAGUGAGUGGGAGCACUAUAGAAUUUCUGAUAAGUAUAUGUGGUUGACAUAUUGUGGAUCAGAAGUAAUGUAGAAUUUCUGUAAAGCAUACAAGGUUGUUUGAAAGGAGUUUUCAAAGGAAUACCUGGAUUGAGCUACUUGAACAUUGAGCAUCAAGAUCUAUGGAGAUAGAUCAAAACGCUUAAUAGAAGUUUCAACAAAAUGCAUGCCUUGACAAGUUUUGAAGGAGUUCAAAAUAGAUCAGCAAAGAAGGAGUUCUUGGUUGCGUUGUGAGGUGUGAAUUUGAGUAAGACUCGAAACCCGACCACGACAGAAUAAAGAGAAUAGACGAAGGUUGUCUUCUAUGCCUUAGCUGUAGACUCUAAAGUAUGCCAUGCUGAGUACCGCACCUGAUGUGUGCCUUGCACUCUGUGGAGAGGUACAGAGAGUGAUCCAUGAUUGAAUCACUAGCAGCGGUCAAAAUUUGUCCUUAGUAACUGAUAGACUAAGGAAUUUUCUCGAUUAUGGAGGUGGUUAAAGAGUUCAUCGUAAAGGGUUACGUCGAUGCAAGCUUUGACACUAAUCCGAAUAACUAUGAGCAGUGAAACGGAUUCGUAUAGUAGAGUAGAUAUUUGGAGUAUUUCCGAAUAGCACAUAGUACUAGCAUCUAUAAGAUGACAUAAAGAUUUGUAAAGAACACACGGACCUGAAAGUUUCAGAACCGUUGACUAAAACCUCUCUCACGAGCAAGACGUGAUCAGACCCCAUAAAUAUAUGGGUGUUGGAUUCGUUGGAAUCACAUGGUGAUGUGAACUAGAUUAUUGACUCUAGUGCAAGUGGGAGACUGUUGGAAAUAUGCCCUAGAGGCAAUAAUAAAUUAGUUAUUAUUAUAUUUCUUAGUUCAUGAUAAUCGUUUAUUAUCCAUGCUAUAAUUGUAUUGAAUGAAGACUUAUAUACAUGUGUGGAUACAUAGACAAAACACUGUCCCUAGCAAGCCUCUAGUUGGUUAGCCAGUUGAUCAAAGAUAGUCAGGGUCUUCUGAUUAUGAACAAGGUGUUGUUGCUUGAUAACUGGAUCACGUCAUUAGGAGAAUCACGUGAUGGACUAGACCCAAACUAAUAGACGUAGCNNNNNNNNNNNNNNNNNNNNNNNNNNNNNNNNNNNNNNNNNNNNNNNNNNNNNNNNNNNNNNNNNNNNNNNNNNNNNNNNNNNNNNNNNNNNNNNNNNNNNNNNNNNNNNNNNNNNNNNNNNNNNNNNNNNNNNNNNNNNNNNNNNNNNNNNNNNNNNNNNNNNNNNNNNNNNNNNNNNNNNNNNNNNNNNNNNNNNNNNNNNNNNNNNNNNNNNNNNNNNNNNNNNNNNNNNNNNNNNNNNNNNNNNNNNNNNNNNNNNNNNNNNNNNNNNNNNNNNNNNNNNNNNNNNNNNNNNNNNNNNNNNNNNNNNNNNNNNNNNNNNACUAGAUCGUGGGACUGAUCGGGGGAUGGUUCGCGGGGCGGAUCGAGGGACGUGAGGACGUUCCACUACAUCAACCGCGUUCACUAACGCUUCUGCUGUGCGGUCUACAAGGGUACGUAGAUCGAACAUCCCCUCUCGUAGAUGGACAUCACCAUGAUAGGUCUUCAUGCGCGUAGGAAAUUUUUUGUUUCCCAUGCGACGUUCCCCAACAUUGUGUUUCCAUGGGAUUGUGUCAAGAGUAAGGUCUCAUUCGACCCAUCAAGGAUGACAUCAAGUGGUGAUCGUCAUCAAGAUUGCGGUGUGCAAGUUCAAGUGAAGCAUCACGAAGAUAGCAUGCUUGAAGCUUGUCGUUCAUUGUGGUGGCAAUGGACUUGUGAAGAUGUGUUGAAGAGUGGCUCACCCAUGGUGAGUAUGGGGGUGCAAUCAACUAGUCUUCAUCAACCCAACGCAAUCAAGAAAGGUGGUUCAUCUUGAGGAAUUCGAGAUCGUCAACAUCUAGCUCAAGUGGACUAUGUGAAAGGUAUAGGUUUGCCCUUGAUAGGUUUUCCAAUUUUAGGAUAGAUUUGUGUACUGUCAAGGGGGGCUCUCAAGUGAGUAGCUUGAUCGUAUCGUUCAUUAAGAGCUCAAACCAUUUGCAUCCUUGCAUCAUAUUUCUGGGUUCUUGUUUGUUGUCUCUCUUUGUGAGUUUUAGAGCUUUUGGUCAUCUUUAUGACAAGCUCGAGGUCAUCAAAAAUGGAGUUCAUGUGCAUCUUCUAUGAUGUUUGGAGCUUUUGCCGAUUAUUCAUUCAUAGAGGUUUCACAUAUCUAUAUCAUUGGUGUUUUCAUAACUGCAUGUUCUUGAUCCAACAAGCUUGAGUUUGCUCAAUUCGGAGCUCGUAUUUGAAAGUUAUGGCAGUUCUGGGCAAGUUUUCUCUCUCAAGCGGAAGUACCACUCGGGCAGAGCGCCCUCCCCUACCGUCCUCUCUUGCACUUAUAAUUUCUCUCUGGUUUCAUCGAUGCGCUUUUCCACUUUGAGCGGAAGUACCGCUCCAGCGGUACUGCCGCCCUCCCCUUCCGUCCCUACUUCCGCUUGUUUUUUCUCUCUGGCUUCCGAUGGGCCGUUGCCCUUUUAAGCGGAAGUACCUCUUGGGUUGGGCAGUACUACCGCCCAGCGAUAGUACCUCUCACCCCAACGGUAGUACCGCUUGUGCAUGACUUGUGCACACAACGGUUGGAUUUGGGGAGGCCUAUAAAAGGAGGUCUUCUUCCCCAAUUGUUAUCUAUUCGUUGAGCUUGUAUUCCUCCCCCCAUUGUUGACCUUCUUUGAGCUUGCUAACUCUAAAUCCCUCCAAUGAUUCUUGUUAGUUCUUGAGUGAAGAGAGAGAGAAGAUCUAGAUCCACAUUUCCACCAAUCACUUUCUCCUCUAUGUGAGGGGAACCCCCUGGAUCUUGAUCUUGGAGUUCUUUGUGAGCUCCUUGUUCUUCCUCUCAUAUUCCUCCAUAGCUUUUGUUGUUGUGGAGGGAUUUGAGUGUGAGGGACUUGACCACUUCGUGUGUUCUUGCCAUUGCAUUAGUUGCAUCGGUUUGAGUUCUCCACGGUGAUACGUGGAAGUGAAGUCUAUGAAGCUUAUUACCCUUGGGUGCUUGGUAUCCUAGAAAUUGUUCUAUGUGGAUGCUUUGGCGUCCUAGAAGCUUGGUGGUGCCUCGGAGCUCAAUCAUUGUGGUGUAAAGCUCUGGGCAAGCGUCGGGGGUAUACAAUUAGGUUGUGGAGAUUGCCCUAAGCAUUCGAGGUCAUCUCGGAGCCACAGUCCAUUGUGGUGAAGCUUCGUGGUGUUGUUGGGAGCCUCCAAUUAAGUUGUGGAGAUUUCUCCAUCCUUGUUUGUACGGGUUCGGUGACCACCAUCAAGGGUCCCUUAGUGGAAUCACGUCUUCUUGCAUUGUGUGAGGGCGUGAGGAGAUUACGGUGGCCUUAGUGCCUUCUUGGGGAGCAUUGUGCCUCCACACCGCUCCAAACGGAGAUUAUCACCCGCAAGGGUGUGAACUUCGGGAUACAUCAUCGUCUCCGUGUGCCUCGUUUAUCUUUUACCCGAGCCCUUUACUUAUGCACUUUACUUUGUGAUAGCCAUAUUGUUUCUUGUUAUAUAUCUUGCUAUCACUUAGUUGUUUAUCUUGCUUAGCAUAAGUUGUUGGUGCACAUAGGUGAGCCUAGUUGUUUUAGGUUUUGUGCUUGACAAAUUAAACGUUAGUUUUAUUCCGUAUUUGUUCAAGCCUAAACCGUAAUUAUUUUAAAGGGCCUAUUCACCCUCCUCUAGGCGACAUCCACGUCCUUUCAGCCUUCAACCUUCUUCCGAUGCUUCUCGAUCUUCUUUUGGUCCAGGAAAAAUCACCAAAAAGUUUCACAACAAUUGGACCUCACUUGGUAUAGAAAACCCGCAAAGUGAAAAACACGUAGAAAACAACAACUAGCAAUGGGCACGCGGUCAAUAGGUUAGUGCUCAAAAAUAAUAUAAAAUGGUAAAUAGAUACCCCAAAAGUAUUCUAGAAUGCUAAUGUAUCAGCAUGGAACAAUAAAAAAUUAUAGAUACGUUGGAGACGUAUCAGAGGGCAGCCAACACACGAAAGCCUUGGUGGCGCCCUCCCUCUCUCUCUAGUAGUUUUUCUCAUCCGUCGCAUCGCGGCAGCGCUUGGAGAAGCCCUGAUGAGAUCGCACCACCAUCACCGUCACCAUGUCGUCGUGUUGCUGAAGAACUCAUCUACUUCUCCACAUACGCUCGCUGGAUCGAGGAGGUGGAGACAUCGUCGAGCCGUACGUGUGCUGAACACAGAGGUGUCGUCCGUUCGACGCUAGAUCGGAACAGCUCGUGAUUGGAUCACGAAGACAUUUGACUACAUCGACCAAGUUUCUCAAUGCUUCCGCUUAGCGAUCUACAAGGGUAUGUAGAUGCACUCCCCCUCUUGUAGCUAUACAUAUCCAUAGAUANNNNNNNNNNNNNNNNNNNNNNNNNNNNNNNNNNNNNNNNNNNNNNNNNNNNNNNNNNNNNNNNNNNNNNNNNNNNNNNNNNNNNNNNNNNNNNNNNNNNGGGGGGGGGGAAGCCCUAGGCGAUGGUGGGCCUAAGGCCCACCUAGGGGUGCGCCACCCCCUCCCCCUGCCCUGGCCGCCGCACCUCCCAUCUGGGGGGGCUGCCGCACCACCUAGGGUGGGAACCCUAGGGGUGGCACCCCCUUCCCCUCCUCCUAUAUAUAGUGGGGGUUUUGGGGCUGUUUUGCACACAGUUUUCCAUCUCCCUCGGCGUAGCCCUGCCCCCCUCUUCCUCCUCUCCCACGAUGCUUGGCGAAGCCCUGCCGGAAGACCUCGUCUCUCCAUCGACACCACGCCGUCGUGCUGCUGGAGAUCUUCACCAAUUCUUCGAGCAAGACCAAAGAAAACAAGAAACAUAAUUAGACAUUUAAAAAAAUAUUCAGCUUUCAUAACUGCUCCUACUAGUUGGAUUAAUAUCUUCUAUAUGUCUUCAUUAUUGAUCUGCGGAUUCUUGAGUGUGCACACUUCUUUCUUCUUUAAUUUUAAAGAAGUAGAUGUUACUUCUCCUUCAGUUUCAUCUUUAGUCUCAUCUCUAGCUUCAAUUAUAGCAACAGGUGCACGAACAACUAUCAAAUUUCUUGUUAUCAAUAAAUUAAUGUAUUCAGUUUUCCAAUACCAAAACUUGCAUCCUUCCUACACAAAUUAAAACAAACAAUGAGCUACCCAAAUUGCAUCAAAUCUGGUGAACAACCAAAUCAAAACAAGCACAUAGCCGGUCUUUUUUGUACUUGAAGAACACCCAUCCGGGAUGUUCCCGUGUAGUCGAAACUUGGCGCACCACUUGCAACGGGCAGUGGUCACACUUUAUGAUCGACUAGCAAUAGUGAGUCGACGAGCCACUGGGCCAGCGUCGAGCCCGAUGCGACGGCCGAGCUGGUCUUUGCUGGUGAACCUUCGACGGAAGAGAUUCGAGUGGCUAGAAGAGGAACCAAUACCUGCAUGCAGCACGGAGGCAUUGUCGGGACCAUGCGGUCUGGUUCCCGGCCAAUCCAUUGCAAGGCGCAGUCACCGGCGCUUGGAAGCUCCAAAUCUGGCGGUGGUGGUUCCAGUCGCAGAUCCAUCGGUUUUGCACCGGCGACGGGUCAGGAAGGCACAAAUCCAAGUGUCGGCGAAGCCUACAGAGCGUCCGCGCUGGCGGGCGAGUGUCGUCGGGGGUGGAAGGGGUGGCGCCGGUGCAAAUGUGACGCGCGAGUGCAAGGGGGGCAAUGGAAGGGAGGCGCGUUUUUUACUCUACGCCGAGUGAUGGAGUAAAUAUAAAUGCUCCCUCUGUCACAGUUUAGAAGACAUACAUUCAAAAUUGUUGGGACCAAUGUGAUUUGCAAUUGGCUUAGUUUCCUUUUGCCAAUGAGGAGUAAUGUCAUGUGUCUUAAAUCUCAUCUUUUAUAAAAACACUCGUAAAUUUAGCUGUGCCACAAAGGGAGUAGUUGGUUUGAUUAUUAUGGUCGUCUGAAAUCUUCAUCAAUUUAUAAUAAUUAUAUAAUGGUGUCAGGCUCGUAACGAACGUUCUGACUAGUCGAAAAAAACACGUACUGCUAGUCAAAGAGCCCCUUGUUUUCUACACUAUGCAUCCAACUAGGGGCACUAGUAUUAAUUAGUUAGGAAUAAAUGUCACGCGUCUUAAAUCUUGUUUAUUAUGAAAACACACGUAAAUUUAACUAUGCCACGAAGGGAGUAGAAGUUUGGGUCCGGCGUAAAUGCUCCCUUACGAUGGUUUGGGGUUGGCAGGUGCCGGUGAGUGGAGUAAAAACAAAAUUUGCUCCACUAAUGAAUUAUAGAAGAUCGGUUAAAAAUGACCUUACUUUUCCUGUAAAGAAAUAUAAAAUCACGGAAGGAGUAAUUGAUUUGAUUAUUAUCGGUCGUCUGAAAUAUUCAUCAAUUUAUGAUAUAUAAUUAUAUAAUAGUGUCAGGCUCGUAAACGUUCUGACUAGUCGAAAAACCCACGUACUACCACUAGUCAAAGCGCCCCUUGUUUUCUACGCCAGCCAGUCAAAAACAUCCAAACAAUUCAAAAAACGAAAAAACCCUCAAAUAACCAACGAACCUUCUCCGAAGAAAACUUCAGGAUUUGCGAGCUGGACCGAAGAAUACUUCGCGGAGAAGCCAAGAACACGCGGAGAGACCGACACGCACGGUUAUUAAAGGCGAAGGCCGCCUCCAGAUCCACGGCGAUGAAGAGCACCCAAACCCCGCGCCAUCACCUCCGUAACCCUCUACUCGCCCUCCUCUUCCUCGCAGCAGCAGCAGGAGCAGCCCAGAUCGCCAUGGCGGCCGAGCCGGAGCAGGCGGCCGCGGCGCAGGAGGCGGCCGUGCACAUCGUCUACGUCGACCGCCCCGAGGACGCCGACCCGAGGAGUUCAACAUCCGCACCCUCUCCCCCGUCCUCAGC
RNAcentral lists this long non-coding RNA (47797 nucleotides) under Hordeum vulgare. Its description in RNAcentral is "long non-coding RNA (HVUL_LNC002085)". The record is from RNAcentral. Lineage: Eukaryota; Viridiplantae; Streptophyta; Magnoliopsida; Poales; Poaceae.